RNAcentral lists this long non-coding RNA (61774 nucleotides) under Gossypium barbadense (sea-island cotton). RNAcentral describes it as "long non-coding RNA (GBAR_LNC013887)". The record is from RNAcentral. Lineage: Eukaryota; Viridiplantae; Streptophyta; Magnoliopsida; Malvales; Malvaceae.
UCAAAUAAUAAAAUAAGUGGUGCAAUACCAAACUGGGUGUGGAAGAAAAGUUUGCGGUAUCUGUUUCUUGCUAAUAACCAUCUCUCAUCUUUGGACCAACUUUUACCCAAUCAGAGUUCAACUUCUUCACAGGGCUCUUUCAUUUUCGACACAUCUUCUAACAAUUUGAGUGGCCCAAUUCCAAAUUGGUUAUGCAAUAUGAGUCAACUUUACAGAUUCAAUGCAUCUUAUAACAAUUUUAGUGGCUCAAUUCCAAAUUGCUUGGACAAUAUGAGCCAACUUGACACUGUCGAUGUAUCUUAUAACAAUUUGAGUGGCCCAAUUCCAAAUUGCUUGGGCAAUAUGAGUGCUCUGAUGUGGUUGGGUUUGCAAGGAAAUAACUUCAGUGGAAUGAUACCAAAAUUUUCAAAAGCAACCCAACUGCGGUUUCUCAAAGUUAGUGAGAAUAGAUUGGAAGGGAAGUUGCCCAGAUCAUUAGCUGAAUGCACUCAGCUUGAAGUUUUGGACGUGGGAAACAACAAGAUGAAUGAUACAUUCCCUUUUUGGUUGGAGAAAUUGCCUUACUUGACGGUUCUAAUAUUGCGGGAAAACAGAUUUUAUGGUCAAAUUAAACAUUUCAAACAUAAAUCUGUUUUCCCAACUUUGGAUGUAUUGGACAUUGCUUCAAACCAGUUUUCUGGUGAACUAUCCAUUGAUUUCCUUCAACCCACUAGACUAAGGUCACUCAAAAUAGGUGGGAAUAAAUUGGAAGGGAAGCUGUCGAGAUCAUUAGCCAAUUGCACAGCACUUGAGGUUCUGGACCUUGGAAAUAAUAUGGUUCAUGAUACAUUCCCAUUUUGGUUAGAGAAGCUACCUUCCUUGAAGGUUCUCAUUUUGCGAGCAAACAGAUUCUACGGCACAAUUACAGAAUUCAACACAGAACGUGGGUUUCCAAAGCUACGCAUUUUGGACAUUGGUUCCAACAAAUUUUCAGGCGACUUGUCCGUUGAAUUUUUGCAAAGCUUGAAGGCAAUGAUGCAGAUAACAAAUGAGGAUAAAGCUAAGCGGGUUUACAUUGGGGACGACUAUUAUCAAGACUCUGUGACAAUUGUUAACAGAGGGAUUGAAAUGUUCUACCAAAGAGUCUUGACAAUUCUUACUUGUCUUGACCUUUCCAACAAUAGUUUCCAUGGGAGAAUACCAGAAGAAAUACAAAUGCUGAGGUCACUCAGAGUGAUGAACUUAUCCAACAAUGGCUUCUCUAGUGAAAUCCCAUUAGCACUUCAAAAUCUAAAAGACCUCGAAUCUUUGGAUCUCUCAAGAAACAAGCUGUCAGGGAAGAUUCCUCCACAACUUACAAGUCUAACUUUCCUGGCAGCAUUGAACUUGUCAUACAACCAACUUGAAGGGAGCAUACCACAAAGCAACCAAUUCAUUACAUUUACAAAUGAUUCCUACCGUGGGAACCCAAAAUUGUGUGGGCUGCCAUUGUCAAGGAAAUGCAAUGAAGUUGGUCUUCCAAUGCCACCACCUCCAGUGGAAGAUGAAGAUUCAUGGUUAAAUGCUCUGUCUACUUGGAAAAUUGCAUUGAUAGGUUAUGCUAGCGGAUUAGUCGUUGGGCUAUGUAUUGGAUAUACAGUGCUGAAUGAGUUGGGAAACAAAUGGGUUUACAAGUUCAAGUGUGGGAAAAGAAAUAGAAGAAGAUGUAGGUGACUCCAUCAGAAUUCUUGCUUCAAAAUUAGCUGGUAAGCAUUUGUCUUUCUACUUUGAACUGAUAGUUGUUGAUAUAUAUAUAUAUAGGUUUUCAUAACCUCAUUUUUUGCUGUCAUUACCAAGUUCACUAUCAUAUCGUACUUGUAAUUUUAUGUUACCAUUGAGCAAUGCAGGAGGUACUUGAAGCAGGACAUGGAAUGUACAGUUGUGAGGUUCAUGAAGAAUGUAGGCAAUGAUCCUAACAAGAUCAAUCCACUGGUUUGUAAUUUUGCUUUAUAUGCACUUUUUUCCUGUUGUAGUUUUCUAUGAGUAUAAAUAAGUGUUUAUUCAUUUUGCAUCCAGGUCCCUGUGGAUUUGGGGGAUGCAAUGUUUCACUGCUACUGAAUUUCCAAGCUAAUAAUGAUAUUAUAAACAGGGAAAUGGCUGCCCAAGCUUUCUUUUAUAUGCAAUUUACUUCAAUUUUUUUAUCUUUAGAAUAUUUGUACAGCUGAGGAGAUUUGAUGGCAUGAUGUUGAUGAAAGCCAUAUCUGAUGGACAUUGGACUGAUUGUGUAAAGAGACGCAGAUGCUGCUACUCCCAUCCUUUGCUCUUCCAAACAGACGUGAGUUUUAUAUUUUAUGAAUCACGUGUUGGGCUUUAGGACCGGGUGUAAAGGGUGGACCUGUUGGUCCGGGUUUUAGUUCAGCCCGUCACUUAUUUUUAUACUAGUUUAUUUAUACUUUCAAUGAUAGUUUUAUUAAUUUAAAAAAUAUGGUUGAAUUAAGUAAUAAUAUGAUAAAAUAAUAAUAAUUAAAAUUUAAUGAAAUAAAUUAUGUCUUAACUUUCCAAUGUUAGCGAAAGGCCAACAAUAUCUCACCUUAUUAUUUUCUUUGUUAAUCCAAAAUUAAAAAGUUCAAAUUAGAAUGUGAUUUAGAGUUUGAAGACUUAAUUAAAUUUUUUUGAAGUUUAGAGUUCAAUUUAACAUAUAAUCCAUAGUUUAGGGACAUCAAGUGAAUUAACCCUUUGAUAAAUCCUAACAUAUUCAUAAGUUGCAUACUCAUUAAUAAAUUAGGACUAAAAUGCUUAUUGGUAAAUUGAUUUCACAUAUAAGUUAAUAUAUUUUUGGGUGCUAUACCAAAGUUUAAUUAAAAGAUUUUAAUGGUACACUUUUACAUUUUAAAAAUUUAAAUUAUAUAUAAACAAUUAUGAUAUAAAAUCGAGACGGCCCACAUCUAAAAUAUUUUAAGCAUCAAAUACAUGAAAAAAAAAAUUCUAAACCCAAAUAUUUUAAGCAUUCGAAACAUUGGCAUUGGCAUCAAUUAGAACACUUGGAUUGGAUAAUGAAAAAAAAAAAAUCCAAACCCAUCUAUUUAACAACGGUAUGUUUAUUAUAUGAUUUUCAAUACAAAAUCAGAUAAUUAAUCGGACACUGUUGAGUUAACUAAUACUUACAAUGUUCAAUUAAAUGAUUUUUUCCAAAAAAAAUUAAUUGUUUAUAUUUCGAAUCCAAUUCAACCAAUAAAAAGCCAGUUAUAUUUGAAUGCGAAUGCAAAGCAGUGGAUAUAACGUAAGGGACUCAAUCCAAUUUGGCAUUCUAAAUGAUGUCUUAAUUACAAUGUGGUACGCUUUCCAGAGUUGGCAAACAACCUAAAGCACUUGUUUAAUUUAUCUUUGAAAAGUGAUAAAAAUAUUAAUAACUAAAAUUAAAAAACUGCAAGAACCAUUAUCUUUCACAAAUUAUUCAAAAUCAUAUGGUAUUUGUAGUCGUUGGCUUAUAUUUUGAAAAGAUUGAUGUUACAAACUAACUCUGAAUUUCCUAAGCUUAUUUUUUGUCCCUUGACACACUUCGCUAUCAUAUGGUAUUUGUAGUCGUAGGCUUGUAGCAUUGACAUUCAUUUUAUCAUUUCGCAAUGCAAGAGGUACUGAAACAGGCUAAGCUGAAACGGCUCAUUAGGUUUGCUACUCCAAAAGACUCUUCGAAAAGAGCAAUGAAAGAAGCGACAAAAGGGUCCUUGGCUGUUUGUGAUGAUGCACUUACAUAUACUCACUUCUAUACGAUUCAUGUAAAUCCUUUCUAUAACUUAUUUCCUAGGAAGCAUUCCUCUAUUAGAGCAACUAAUCCAUAAUUCUUAAAUCCAGAUACUGUAAUUGGUUUUUUUUUUUUUUCUCUCGAUUUUGUAGCAGGGGCCAAACUCCCCAAUGUCUUGGCUACCAAUCUUCUUUAAUUUAAUCGAACUCAUUUAUGGUAAGGAUGAGUUUUGGAAUGCUCUAUGAAUAUUGUGAGUUGAACAUGAGCAGCAUACUUGAUAUGCAAAAUCUAAUAUCAAGAAUCUCCCUUGUGAGGUUCAUUUUUGCUUCAAUUCACAGCCAUUUGGGGUACGUAAUUUGUCUCUAGCACUGAACUUUCAUGCCAAAUAAUGCUAUAUUAUAAACAAGGAUCAUGGCUUUUCCAAGCCUUCUUUAAUAUGAAUUUACUCUUUAGUUCAGAAUUUUAUUUUCAAAUUAUUUUUGUGCAGCUUGGAAGAUAAUAUGACGAGUUGAUGUUGAUGAAAGCCACAUUUAACACCGUGAUUCUGCAAAGAGACACCACUGCUAGAUGUGCCUCUUUGAAACAGGACAAGCUCAAGCAAAGAUCGUUAACUUUAUCUUUGAAAACAAUGGUAAAAGUUUCUAACUAAUUAUCUUUUCCUUGACAUCUUCUUUAAUCAUGCUUGAAUUAAGUUUAAGCAUAUGAAAGACAUGAUUGUUGGUAGAUAAAUGAGAAGCUUCAUGUUCUAAUUUUCAGGCUAAUGGUCUAAGAAGACAGUAAGGCGUGUUGAUUGCAGUUUGUUAUCUAUUCUAUGGAAAAGAAAACGUGCAUUGCCAACAUAAAGUACAGAAAGGAUAUGCAUAAGGUGCAAAGGCUUAUCACCGAAGCAAGUCUACAGCUUGUUUAAGGCGGCUCAUGUUCUCUUACAUGUAAUUUGCAUGAAAUCUUAUUAUCUUAGGAUUAUACUGGAGUGCCACCAGCAGUUGACCUCACUAGCAUGUGAGACACUGUUAAGAAUCUUGACAAUGAUCUUAACAAGAUUAUUCCACUAGUUUGUAAUUUUCCCUCUAUAUUUUACCAGUAGUAUAUAACUUAUUUACUUCUAUAUCUUGCAAUUUAUGCAGCCCCCGAGCAUGGUAUAGCUUGGUGUUGGUAGAUUCACAUUGUCCAAGAACUUACAAGAUGUUGAGAAAGCAUAGUGUUGGCAAAAUUUUUGAGUUUUAUGGUUAAGUCUAUGAUCAUAAAUCUUAAGAAUAGAAUGAUUUUACUAUAAAAAAUUUCAGGUUUAUAGGACUUUAUCAUCAAUGUAACUAUUUUUAAUGUGGUUAUAGGAGAGGGUGUGGCUGAAUUAUCAUUAGCUAAUCAUGGUCGAGCCAUAGUUGCAGACAUGGGACCUGAAUAAUGUGCAACCAUGGGUUGUCUUUCCUGUGGAUCAUACAGCCUUGCAAUUCCUUAAUUUAACCAGCAGGAGUGGUGACACAGUUCAUUCUCCGUCCAUUUUAUGCGUGGUGAUGACUCCAACAAGGUUUUAUGUUAUUAUUGCUACUAUUUUGUCUUUUUAAUAAUUUAGAUAUAAGAACAUUUUCAUAUAUAUAUAGAAUAAGGAUGAGACAGAAGGACUAAAAUACUGGCAUCAAUAACAACACUAAGACCAAUAAAAUCUCAUAUUUCAAAAUUAGAAUUGAAAAAAAAUAUAAAAGAUUGAAGAUGCAAAGCAAAUAAAUUAAGUGUGAAUUGAAAACCUUAAUGCUAAGACUAAGAAUAAAUAAUUCAUCCCUUAAGACUAAUAGCUUCAUCAUCAUCCUUUGCUGCGAUAUGACUCUGGCUUGAAUUUAAAGAAGCAAAUAUGAAGUACUCAUCAUGCGAGAGAAAAUUACUUAGCUAAGAGAAGAAAUCAUUUACUUCAACCAAACUAUCCCCGGUAGAAAUAAAAGCCAAAAGAAUUAGAUUCAUUCAAAACAAAAAAUUGUAGGGAUUAGUUUUAUAAUUUUACUUAAAUUUUCAUUUCAUCAGGAGGACGUGGGUUCGAAUAUGUUGAAGUGCAUUAUGCUCCUAUUUAUGGGUUGGGGAGAGACUAAGCGUAGUUUUAGGCAUUGUAUCAAAAAAAAAAGAUUUGAUCAGAACCUAUAAUGUGAAAAGUUGUUACUAAAAAGUUUAAAAAAUAGAAUUUUUAGUUUCCUUUUGUUUAUUUAUUAUUUUUUUCAUAAUAUCUUUUAUCUAUAUUUGAAGUGUUUUGGGUUUAAUUUUUAAUCAUUAUAAUCAAAAACCCAAUUUUGUACUAAUAAAGCACACCAUUGUUAGUUUUUAGUGUUAUUUUUGAGGUAUUAUAUAUUUGUAUUUGACCUAUGUUUAUAAUGGUGAUCAGACCCGUUUUUAAUAUUUUUGAGACCCUAGGCGAAACAAUAAAUCGGGGUCUUGUUUAAAAAAUUAUUAAAUGUAAUACAAAAAAAUGAACCUUUUUUAUUUUAUAUUUUUUCUGCCUGCAAUAAAUCAAAAGACUAAAAAAGUUAAAAAAAUUUCACGUUAAAAAUUAAAAAAAGAAACUUUUUGCCCUAAAGUUGGGCUGACGGAGACUAGAAAACAACCCAACAAAUUCCAAUAAAAUCUCAUACUACAAAAUUGGAAUUAACAAAUGGAAAAACAAAAAGACAUUGGUAAAGCAAAAUAAGUGUGAAACAUGAACAAAUUGACAUGAAGACUAAGAAGAGAGUAUGAAAAAUUUUAAAAUUGUAAUUUAGGAUGACUUUAAAAUAUGGGGAAGAUUCAUGAAAAUUAAAUGGGCCUGAAAUCAAUGAUUUUGCAGUUUCUCUUUGUUGAUUUGGUGGAUGUUUCCCACUACUUUUAAUGGUUCCAAUUAUAUACUUGGAAAUUGGAAUUACUUUUGCCACUCAUUUCUCAUGUUGGUUUGGCCAAUAAAAGAUUAUUUGCAUAAAGCAACAAUGCGGCAAUAGGCUGCAAUAUUUCCACAUGCCUCUCAAACUUUUUACUCCAAUUUUAAGGAUUUUUUUUAUUUUUUAAAAAUUAACAUAUUUUUCUACCUUUCUUCUUUCUCUUCUCAUCCUCUCUUUCUCAAUCUCACCUCCCCAAAAAAUGCAAAAUAAAAAAAAUUAUUUUAAUUUUUAAAAAAUAUAAAUUUUGGAAUUUUUAUGAAUUUUUUGAAUUUUUUGAAAAGUAUUUUAAAUUAUUUUGUAAUUUUUGUUGAGAGAUAUCAAUUUGUUAAAUUUUAAAAUUGACAAUGACCAAAGGAGCAUGUACACCAAUUUAUUGUAUGAAUUGUUCGGGUUAUUUAAAUUAUAAAAUUCAACUCGAAAAUCAAAUUAUAAAUAUUUUUAAUAUUAUAAAACAUAAAAAUAUUAAGAUUAAAUAAUAAUAUAGAAAAGGAAUUUUUUUUCUCCAAAUUUCUCAUCCAAAUACAGUCUAAGAAAGCUUGAAAGCUGAAAUUUAAAAAUAUUAUUAUCUUAACUCGAUUUAAAAUUUUUUUGAGUCAAGUCGAGUGCAAAGAAAUUAGAGUUGAAUUGAAUCGAGUGAAAUUGUUUGAGUUAAACUAAAAAUUUUAAUAUGUCAAAUUGAAAUAUUUUUAUGGUAUAAUUAAUUUUAUGUUAGAGCACAUAAAUUUGAAACCAUAUAUAUAUAUUUGAAAACUUUUGUUGAAAAUUUUUAAUAAUAUAAACUCGAAACUUGAAUUAUAAAAAUAUUUAAUAAUAUAAAACAUAAAAAAUAUUAAAAUUAAAUAAUAAUAUAGAAAUAAAAAUUUUUCUUCAAAUUUCUCAUCCAAAUACAGUCUAGAAAAGUUUUAAAGAUGAAAUUUAAAUAUGUUUGUUUCAAAAGUGGAAAAUUCUAUAUAUUGAAUCAUCAAAAUUUUCACUUAUUGUGUUCAUCAAUCCAGCGAAGACUUAACUUGUACACAUUUCUUUGAUAAAUUAUAACUUAUUUACAAAUUCGAUACUCAUUAACAAAUUGAUAUUAUAUUUUAAGUUAAAUUAUUUUAAAUUAUUUUGUAAUUUUUGUUGAGAGAUAUCAAUUUGUUAAUUUUUAAAAUUAAUAGGGACUAAAGGAGUAUGUAUAUCAAUUUGUUGUUUGAAUUAUUUGUGUUUUUCAUCAUAAAAUUCAACUCGAAACUGGAAUUGUAAACAUAAAGAGAGCCUAAGCCUAAGGUCAUGCAAUCUUACUGAAUUUCCAGAAUUCAUUAAAAGGCAACCCAAGUUGGUUGACUUAGAUCUUUCUAAUAACCAUAUCCAUGGUUUUGUGCCCAAUUGGUUGUGGAAGAGCAGUCUUUCAUGGGUAGACCUUUCUUUCAAUGUGAUUGAUUUUCCAAAACAGCUUCCCUUAAAUGAUGCAAACUUCUCAUUUCCAAUGUUGGCAGACUUGGAUUUGAGAUCCUGCAACAUAAGUGCGUUUCCAGAGUUCAUCAAAACACAAGACAAGUUGGUUGACUUAGAUCUUUCUAACAAUCAUAUCCAUGGUGUUGUGCCUAAUUGGUUCUGGAAGAGCAGCCUUUCAAGGGUAAACCUUUCUUUCAAUGUGAUUGAUUUUCCAAAACAACUUCCCUUAAAUGAUGCAAACUUCUUAUUUCCAAUGUUGACAGGAUUGGAUUUGAGAUCCUGUAACAUAAGUGCGUUUCCAGAGUUCUUAAAGAGUCAAAAAAAUUUAGAAGAAUUCGACGCAUCUUAUAACAAUUUGAGUGGCCCAAUUCCAAAUUGGUUAUGCAAUAUGAGUCUACUUUACACUUUCGAUGCAUCUUAUAACAAUUUGAGUGGCUCAAUUCCAAAUUGCUUGGUCAAUAUGAGUCAACUUGAAACUUUCGAUGUAUCUUAUAACAAUUUGAGUGGCCCAAUUCCAAAUUGCUUGGGCAAUAUGAGUGCUCUGAUUUUGUUGGGUUUGCAAGGAAAUAACUUCAGUGGAAUGUUACCAAAAUUUUCAACAGCAACCCAACUGCAAUUUCUGAAAGUUAGUGAGAAUAGAUUGGAAGGGAAAGCAAAGGCACGGCGGUGGUCACGCUGGUCGUGGUGGCGCGACGGCGAUCAGGGCCCUUUCGCUGCUGCUUUCUUGACCCUUUUUUUGCUUCUUUUUUUUUGCGAAAAAAACUGAAACCCCCCCUUCUCUUCAAUUUUUCUUUUUAAUCCCUCCAAAAUUGUCUUCUUCCUCUUUGUUUUUAGGUGACAGGGGAAGAAAAUCAUGGCCUAGGGAGCUGCCGGAGUAGCUGGAAGUGGCAGGAGCAUGCUUGGAUGCCGAUUGGGUGAUUUGACAAGUCCAGAAGGACCAAAAUGUAGAAGACACAAAAUAUUUGGGGUAAAAAUGUGAUUUGGGGAAAAUAUAGGGCCAAGAUGUAAUUUUUUGAAAUUUUAAGGGUCAAAGUGUAAUUUACAAAAUAUUAGGGGUCAAUAUAUAAUUUUUGAAAAAUUUAGGGGCUAAAAUGUAAUUUAUUUUUUUGUAUUUUUUCAAAGUUUUAUUAUUACUAUUAAUAUUUAAAACAUAAAUUAAAAAUGGACUAAGACAAUUCCAAUAUUAAAUCCUAAUGGGCCCAAUCAUUGGGCCCAUACGAGGCCGACCCGGCCCAAAAUUCUAACCGGGCAAAAUUUAGUGAUUACAGUUAUUUUUGUGCAAUCAAAAUUUGGACAUUUGCAUGCAAUGCCAAAGACUUAAGAUAUUUCAUACUAUCAUUUUUCCCGAUCCAAAGUUAAAGAUAUUAAAAAUUUUAAAUUAGAAUGUUAUUUAUAAUUUGAGAAUUUGAGAUAGAAGGUGAAUUAACACUUUGAUAAAUCAUAACAUAUUUAUAAGAUGGAUACUCAUUAACAAGUUGAUUUUAUAUUAUAAGUUAAAUUUUAUUUUUUUUGGUGUUAUAACAAAAUUACCUUAGAAGAUUACAUUGUAAUUUUUUUAUUUUAAAAAAUGAUGUAGAAAUAAUUAUGUAUAACAUAAAAAAUGAUAAAGUUUGGCCAAGUUUAAAAUAUUUGUAACAUAAUUUUUUCUACAAAGUCCAUACUUAAUAUAUAUAAUUUAAACUUAAAAUCUCGGUUGAAGUAUUAUCUUUGCUUAUUUUAUACGUAGUGACGGUUCCAAUAAGAUUUAAAGUACAUUAUUAUUACUAUAAAUUUGUCUUUUUUAAUGACUUAGAUAUAGAAGAUUAUUUAUAUAGACUAAGGAGUGGGCAAGAAAACUAAAACCUCGGCAUUAAUAAGAAAAAUGACAUCAAUAAUAUAUUAAAAUCUCAUUCUUCAAAAUCAAUAAUAUAUUAUUCUUUAAUAAUAUAUUAAAACGCAAAUUAAAUGUGAAUUUAACAACUUAUUUCUAAUACUAACAACAAAUAAUUUAUGCUAUAAAUUAUUUAUUAUUAGUAUUAUUAUUAUUAUCCCUUGCUGGAAAAGGUUAACCAAAAAGACUUAGCUAAAGUGGUGGAACAUUAUUUUGAUGCAGUAUUGACUGGGCAAAAAGACUUGGAAAUUGCGUGCUAUGCCAAACAUGAAAACUACACAUUUGUGUAUAAAUAAGUUGUAUGCCAAGCACAAUCCUUCUUCACACCCAACAAACAUGAACACUCUUCAUUUCCUUAUUUCACUCUUCCUCUUCUCAUGCGUCCUUUCUCUUGUCAUGUCUUUUUCACCUCCUCAAACUCAUCUCCCUAAGCAAUGCCUUGAUGAUCAGAGAGCUCCUCUCCUGCAAUUGCAGCGUCAUCUUUACUGUGCCCCUAAUUUUACUUUCUCUUCCAAAUUUGACCUCUGGGAUGUCAACACUGAUUGUUGUUCUUGGGAAGGAGUCACUUGUGAUGCUUAUGGUCAUGUCGUUGGCAUUGAUCUUAGCAAUAAAAACCUUUCAGGCAGGUUUCACCCCAUAUUCAAUCUCCAUCGUCUUCAACACCUUAAUCUUGCUGGAAACAACUUUAAUACCACUAUGUUUUCCCAUGGGUUUCACAAACUCCAAAAUCUAACCCAUCUCAAUCUUUCAAGCUCAUGUUUCCAUGGCCAAAUUCCAGUGGAGAUCUCAUACUUAACGAGGUUAGUGUCUCUUGAUCUAUCUAAUCAAGGUUCUUGUUAUUUGCGAUACUACGCCAUUCUUGACCCAUAUAGAGGCGUCUACACCUACAAUGAUCCAUUGCCUUACGAACUUCAACAGCCUCUUAAAUUAGAGAAUCCAAACUUCAAGACAUUAAUCAAGAAUUUGAGGUUUCUCACAGAGCUUUAUUUGGAUGGGGUAAACAUUUCAACUCAAAGUGCUAAAUGGUGUGAAACCACAUCUCUUGUACUUUCCAACCUGCGUGUGUUGAGUCUGUCAAACUGUGGUUUGAAAGGUCCAUUAUGUUCUUCACUCUCAAGACUCUCUUUUCUUUCCAAACUUAUCCUUGAUGGGAACCCAAUCUCUUAUUUACCUCCCAAUUUCUUGGAAAUUUCCUCUCGUUUGGUUUCUCUCAGUUUGAGGAACUGCUAUUUGAGUGGCCAUUUUCCAACUGAAAUUCUCUUAUCGCCAAAAAUUCAAAGCAUUGACAUUUCAUUGAACCACCAACUUAUGGGUCAGUUGCCAGAAUUUCCAGCAAACAAUGCAUUACUGAGUCUGUCACUUUAUUUUACAAAUUUCAGUGGAAAACUGCCUGAAUCGAUUGGUAAUCUUAAGUUCCUGACAAAUUUAGAGCUUUCUUAUUGCAAUUUUUUUGGACCUAUUCCAUCGUCAAUUACGAAUCUUAGUCACCUGGUCAACCUAUAUCUGGGAGGGAACAUGCUUUCUGGAUCAAUACAUUCUUCUUUAUUCACUCUUCCAUCAUUAAAGACCCUGUCUCUUGGAGAAAAUCACUUGGUUGGGAAAAUUGAUGAGUUCCCCAAUGCAUCUUCUUCUUUGAUUCAAGAACUAUAUAUAGGCAAUAAUUAUUUAACAGGACCAAUCCCAAAGUCAAUCCUUCAACUUCCAAGGCUUGAAUGGCUUUAUAUUGAAAGCAAUAGCUUCAGUUCCAUGAAGCUUGACAUGUUUGUCCAACUCAAGAACUUGAGGUAUCUGACUCUGUUCAACACAAGCUUGUUAAUUGAAAGCGACAGCAGAAGUCUUCCUUUUCCACAAUUAGAGAGCCUAACCCUAAGGUCAUGCAACCUUACUGAAUUUCCAGAAUUCAUUAAAAGGCAAGACAAGUUGGUUGACCUCGAUCUUUCUAACAGCCAUAUCCAUGGUUUUGUGCCCAAUUGGUUGUGGAAGAGCAGUCUUUCAUGGGUAGACCUUUCUUUCAAUGUGAUUGAUUUUCCAAAACAGCUUCCCUUGAAUGAUGCAAACUUCUCAUUUCCAAUGUUGAAAGAAUUGCGUUUGAGAUCCUGUAACAUAAGUGCGUUUCCAGAGUUCAUCAAAACACAAGACAAGUUAGUUGUGUUAGAUCUUUCUAACAACCAUAUCCAUGGUGUUGUGCCUAAUUGGUUGUGGAAUAGCUCUCUUUCAGGGGCAAACCUUUCUUUCAAUGUGAUUGAUUUUCCAAAACAGCUUCCCUUAAGUGAUUUAAACUUCUCUUUUUCAAUGUUGAGGGAAUUGUAUCUGGAAUCUUGUAACAUAAGAUCAUUUCCAGAGUUCUUAAAGAGUCAAGAAAAUUUAGAAUAUCUCGAUCUUUCAAAUAAUAAAAUAAGUGGUGCAAGUCCAAACUGGGUGUGGAAGAAAAGUUUGCGGUAUCUGUUUCUUGCAAAUAACCAUCUCUCAUCUUUGGACCAACUUUUACCCAAUCAGAGUUCAACUUCUUCACAAGACUCUUUCUAUUUCGACGCAUCUUAUAACAAUUUGAGUGGCCCAAUUCCAAAUUGGUUAUGCAAUAUGAGUCAACUUCGCGGUUUUGAUGCAUCUUAUAACAAUUUGAGUGGCUCAAUUCCAAAUUGCUUGAACAAUAUGAGUCAACUUGAAACUUUCGAUGUAUCCUAUAACAAUUUGAGUGGCCCAAUUCCAAAUUGCUUUGGCAAUAUGAGUGCUCUGAUUUGGUUGAUUUUGCAAGGAAAUAACUUCAGUGGAAUGUUACCAAAAUUUUCAAAAGCAACCCACGUAUAUAUUCUGAAAGUUAGUGAGAAUAGAUUGGAAGGGAAGUUGCCCAGAUCAUUAGCUGAAUGCACUCAGCUUGAAGUUUUGGACGUGGGAAACAACAAGAUGAAUGAUACAUUCCCUUUUUGGUUGGAGAAAUUGCCUUACUUGACGGUUCUAAUAUUGCGGGAAAACAGAUUUUAUGGUCAAAUUAAACAUAGAUUUGUUUUCCCAACUUUGGAUGUGUUGGACAUUGCUUCAAACCAGUUUUCUGGUGAACUAUCCAUUGAUUUCCUUCAACCCACUCGACUAAGGUCACUCAAAAUUGGUGGGAAUAAAUUGGAAGGGAAGUUGUCGAGAUCAUUAGCCAAUUGUACAGCACUUGAGGUUCUGGACCUCGGAAAUAAUAUGGUUCAUGAUACAUUCCCAUUUUGGCUAGAGAAGCUACCUUCCUUGAAGGUUCUCGUUUUGCGAGCAAACAGAUUCUACGGCACAAUUUCAAAAAUCGACACGGAGCGUGGGUUUCCAAAGCUACGCAUAUUGGACAUUGGUUCCAAUCAUUUUUCAGGUGACUUGUCCAUUGAAUUUUUGCAGAGUUUGAAGGCAAUGGCGAAGAUGACUAAGGACGAAAAGGUUAAGCGGGUUUACAUUGGGGACGUCUAUUAUAAAGAUUCUGUGACAAUUGUUAACAGGGGGGUUGAACUAUUUUACCAAAAAAUCUUAACUGUUCUUACUUGUCUUGACCUUUCCAACAAUAGUUUCCAUGGGAGAAUACCAGAAGAGAUACAAAUGCUGAGGUCACUCAGAGUGAUGAACUUAUCCAACAAUGGCUUUUCUGGUGAAAUCCCAUUAGCACUUGAAAAUCUAAAAGAUCUUGAAUCUUUGGAUCUCUCACAGAAUGAGCUGUCAGGGAAGAUUCCUGCACAACUUACAAGUUUAACUUUCUUAGCAGCAUUGAAUUUGUCUUACAACCUACUUGAAGGGAGCAUACCGCAAGGCAACCAAUUCAGUACAUUUUCAAAUGAUUCUUACCGUGGGAAUCCAAAAUUAUGCGGUCCACCAUUGUCCAAGAAAUGCAAUGAAGUUGGUCUUCCAAAGCCACCACCUCUAGGGGAAGAUGAAGAUUCAUGGUGAUAUGCUGUGUCUACUUGGAAAAUUGCGUUGAUAGGUUAUGCUAGUGGAUUAGUCGUUGGGCUAUGUAUUGGAUAUACAGUGCUGAAUGAGUUGGGAAACAAAUGGGUUGACAAGUUCAAAAAGUGUGGGAAAAGAAAUAGGAGGAGAUGUAGGUGACUCCAUCAGAAUUCUUGCUUCAAAAUUAGCUGGUAAGCAUUUGUCUUUCUAAUUUGAACAGAUAGUUGUUGAUAUAUAUAUAGGUUUUCAUAACCUCAUUUUUUGCUGUCUUUACCAAGUUCACUAUCAUACCGUACUUGUAAUUUUAUGUUACCAUUGAGGUACAUGAAUAAUCUAGGCAGUGAUCCUAACAAUGAUCCUAACAGCUGAGGAGAUUUGAUGGCUUGAUGCUGAUGAAAGCUUUUUCUGAUGGACAUUGGACUGAUUGUGUCAAGAGAUGCAGAUGUUGCUACUCCCACCCUUUGCUCUUCCAAAGAGACAUUAGCUUUAUAUUUUAUCAAUCACGUGUUGGGGUUUAGGAUCGGGUGUAAAGGGUGGACCUAUUGGUCCGGGUUUUAGUUCAACCCGACACUUAUUUUUAUACUAGUUUAUUUAUAGUUUCAGUGAUAGUUUUAUUAAUUUUAAAAAUAUAGUUGAAUUAGAUAAUAAUAUGAUAAAAAUAAAAAUAAAAAUAAAAAUUGUCACAGGGGCCUUUCAGUUUCGACGCAUCUUCUAACAAUUUGAGUGGCCCAAUUCCAAAUUGGUUAUGCAAAAUGAGUCGACUCGGCCGUUUUGAUGUAUCUUAUAACAGUUUGAGUGGCCCAAUUCCGAAUUGCUUGGGCAAUAUGAGUGCUCUCUAUUCGUUGGAUCUGCAAGGAAAUAACUUCAGUGGAAUGAUGCCAAAAUUUUCAAAAGCAACCCAACUGUCGUUUCUCAAAGUUAGUGAGAAUAGAUUGGAAGGGAAGUUGCCCAGAUCAUUAGCUGAAUGCACUCAGCUUGAAGUUUUGGACGUGGGAAGCAACAAGAUGAAUGAUACAUUCCCUUUUUGGUUGGAGAAAUUGCCUUACUUGACGGUUCUAAUAUUGCGGGAAAACAGAUUUUAUGGUCAAAUUAAACAUUUCAAACAUAAAUCUGUUUUCCCAACUUUGGAUGUAUUGGACAUUGCUUCAAACCAGUUUUCUGGUGAACUAUCCAUUGAUUUCCUUCAACCCACUCGACUAAGGUCACUCAAAAUAGGUGGGAAUAAAUUGGAAGGGAAGCUGUCGAGAUCAUUAGCCAAUUGCACAGCACUUGAGGUUCUGGACCUUGGAAAUAAUAUGGUUCAUGAUACAUUCCCAUUUUGGUUAGAGAAGCUACCUUCCUUGAAGGUUCUCGUUUUGCGAGCAAACAGAUUCUACGGCACAAUUUCAAAAAUUGACACGAAACGUGGGUUUCCAAAGCUACGCAUAUUGGACAUUGCUUCCAACAAUUUUUCAGGUGACUUGUCUAUUGAAUUUUUGCAGAGUUUGAAGGCAAUGGCGGAGAUGACUAAUGAUGAAAAGGCUACGCUGGAUUAUAUCGGAGAGAAUUAUUAUCAAGACUCUGUGACAAUUGUUAACAGAGGGAUUGAAAUGUUGUACCAAAAAGUCUUGACAAUUCUUACUUGUCUUGACCUUUCCAACAAUAGUUUCCAUGGGAGAAUACCAGAAGAGAUACAAAUGCUGAGGUCACUCAGAGUGAUAAACUUAUCCAACAAUGGCUUUUCUGGUGAAAUCCCAUUAGCACUUGAAAAUCUAAAAGAUCUUGAAUCUUUGGAUCUCUCACAGAAUGAGCUGUCAGGGAAGAUUCCUGCACAACUUACAAGUUUAACUUUCCUGGCAGCAUUGAACUUGUCAUGCAACCAACUUGAAGGGAGCAUACCACAAAGCAACCAAUUCAUUACAUUUACAAAUGAUUCCUACCGUGGGAACCCAAAAUUGUGUGGGCUGCCAUUGUCAAGGAAAUGCAAUGAAGUUAGUCUUCCAAUGCCACCACCUCCAGGGGAAGGUGAAGAUUCAUGGUUAAAUGCUCUGUCUACUUGGAAAAUUGCGUUGAUAGGUUAUGCUAGUGGAUUAAUCGUUGGGCUAUGUAUUGGAUAUACAGCGCUGAAUGAGUUGGGAAACAAAUGGGUUGACAAGUUCAAAAAGUGUGGGAAAAGAAAUAGAAGAAGAUGUAGGUGACUCCGUCAGAAUUUUUGCUUCAAAAUUAGCUGGUAAGCAUUUGUCUUUCUAAUUUGAACAGAUAGUUGUUGAUAUAUAUAUGUAUAUAUAUAGGUUUUCAUAACCUCAUUUUUUGUUGUCAUUACCAACUUCACUAUCAUAUCGUACUUGUAAUUUGAUGUUACCAUUGAGCAAUGCAGGAGGUACUUGAAGUAGGAAAUGGAAUGUACAGUUGUGAGGUUCAUGAAGAAUGUAGGCAAUGAUCCUAACAAGAUCAAUCCACUGGUUUGUAGUUUUGCUUUAUAUGCACUUUUUUCCUGUUGUAGUUUUCUAUGAGUAUAAAUAAGUGUUUAUUCAUUUUGCAUCCAGGUCCCUGUGGAUUUGGGGGAUGCAAUGUUUCACUGCUACUGAAUUUCCAUGCUAAUAAUGAUAUUAUAAACAAGGAAAUGUCUGCCCAAGCUUUCUUUUAUAUGCAAUUCACUUCAAUUUUUUUAUCUUCAGAAUAUUUGUACAGCUGAGGAGAUUUGAUGGCAUGAUGUUGGUGAAAGCCAUAUUUGACGGACAUUGGACUGAUUGUGUAAAGAGACGCAGAUGCUGCUACUCCCAUCCUUUGCUCUUCCAAACAGACAUGAGUUUUAUAUUUUAUGAAUCACGUGUUGGGCUUUAGGACCGGGUGUAAAGGGUGGACCUGUUGGUCCGGGUUUUAGUUCAGCCCGUCACUUAUUUUUAUACUAGUUUAUUUAUACUUUCAAGGAUAGUUUUAUUAAUUUUAAAAAUAUGGUUGAAUUAAGUAAUAAUAUGAUAAAAAUAAUAAAAAUAAUAAAAAUUUUAUCAAAUAAAUUAUUUCUUAAAAUCUAGUAUGCUUUCCAAUGUUAGCCAAAGGCCAACAAUAUCUCACACUAAUAUUUUCUUUGUUAGUCCAAAAUUAAAAAUUUCAAAUUAGGAUGUAACUUAUAGUUUGAGGGCUUAAUCAAAAUUUUUUUUAAAAAUUUAGAAAUCAAUUUAAAAUUUAAUCCAUAAUUUAAGGAAUUAACCUUUUGGUAAAUCCUAACAUAUUCAGAAGUUCCAUACUCAUUAAUAAAGAGUGAACCUGUUGGUCUAGGUUUUAUGUUAAUUUUAUCACGAAAUUUUAAUUUUAUUUCAUUUUAGUCCCGUGAGAAACGGUGCGCAUAAGGGCAAGGUAUAUUCUCCUAUUCGGUCCCUAUUCUUUUUAGCAUGUUAUAUUUUAAUUCUUAUUAGCCUUUUUUAUUUACAAUUUAUACUCCUUAAUUUUAUUCCGAUUUCAAUAUGAUCCUUAGUUUAUUUAACUUCAAUUUUUUUUACAAACUGUUUCAUUUAUUAUUUAUUUAUUUAUUUUCAAUUUUUAAUAAAAUGUUUUAUUGGUAGUCACCUUUUUAUUUAUUUAUUUACUUAUUGCUUCCUUUGUUUUUUAUUUUUAAUUGGCUUGCUUUUUGUAUUUUCCUUUUAUUGUGCAUUUUUUGGCGGCACUUACCACAAAGCGCCGCAAAUAGUAAGCAUUAGCGGCGUUUUGAAAUAAGUGCCACUAACUCUAAUAUACGUCAAGGCCAAACUCUGCGUUUUGGUUAGGAUACUUUGCGGCGCUUUCCACAAGCGCCGCUACUACUAUAGUUUAGCGGCGUUUUCCAAUAAGCGCCACUAAUUCUAAUAUACCUCAAGACCAAACUCCGCGUUUUGGUUAAGAUAUUUUGAGGCGCUUACAACCAAACGCUGCUAUUACUAUGCUUUAGUGGCGUUUUCCUUAAACGCCACUAAUUAUAAUAUACAUCAAGACCAAAACGCUGCGUUUUGGUUAAGAUGUUUUGCGGCAUUUAACGCUCAGCGCCGCUAAUACUAUACAUUAGCGGCGUUUUCUUUAUAAGCACCACUAAUUGUAAUAUACAUCAACACCAAACUCUGCGUUUUGGUUAACAUCUUUUGCGGCGCUUCCGCUAAGCGUCGCUAAUACUAUGCAUUACCGGCGUUUGUUCGUAAGCGCCACUAAUUCUAAUAUACAUCAAGACCAGAACACUGCGUGUUGGUCUUGAGAUUCUACGGCACUGUGUGGUAAACGCCACUAAUGAUGUUUUUUUUAUGGCGUUUGUUCGGGAAACGCCACUAUUCAUCCGACUUUUUGCGGCGUUUUAAAAGAAGCGCCGCUAAUGCUAGAUCUUUAGCGGCGUUGUAUUCUUUGCGCCACUAAUGCUCGAUUUUUAGCGGCGUUUGUAAUCCAAACGCCACAAAAUAUGCCGCUAAAAGCCUGUUCUGGUGUAGUGUUAGAGUUGAGCCCAUAAUUUGGGGUGUUGGAUUUAAUUAAACCCGUUGGUAGAUCAUAGCAUAUUUAUAAGUUGGGAUUUAGGAGUACUCAUUUAUUUUUGAUGAUUUUUAUGAGUGUUACAUAACAUCCUUUAUGUAUAUAUAUUUGAAGUUGUUUGAGUUUGAUAUUUAAUCAUUAGAAUUAAAAAUCCAAUUCUCUACUAAUAAAUCAAACAAUUGUUUUUUUUAGUGUUAUUUUUGAGCUCUUAUGUAUUUGUAUUUUACCUAUGUUUAUAGUGUUGACUGGUCAAAAUUAUAGGGUAUAUAAAAAACAUUAUUGUGUAAAAUUGUUUGAUUUAAAUUAAAAAAUAAAUAUGUCAAAUUAAAAUUUUAUUAUAGUAUAAUUAAUAUUUGAAAUCAUAAAUAUUAGAAAACUGUUUCAAAGCAAAAUAAUAAAAAAUUAUUAUAGUCUUUACAUAAUAUAAAUUUUAGAAUUUUUAUGAAUAUUUUAACUUUAAAAAUAUUUUAAUAUAUUUUUGUAAUUUUUGUUGAGAGAGAAUAUUAAUUUGUUAAUUUUUAAAAUUGACAAGAAUCAAAGGAGUAAAUAUAUCAAUCUGUUAUUUGAAUUAUUCGAAUUAUUUAAAUUAUAAAAUUCAACUCGAACCUCGAAUUAUAACUAUUUUUAAUAUUAUAAAAUAUUAAAAUAUUAAAAUUAAAUAAUAAUUAAAUAAUAAUAUAGAAAUGAAAAUAUUUCUCAAGCUUUAAGAAAGUUUGAAAGCUGAAAUUUAAAAAUGUAUCUUUCAAAAGUGAAAAAUUCUAUAUAUUCUAUCAUCAAAAUUUCCACUUAUUGUGUCCAUCAAUCUAUAAGGUGACUUGACUUGUACACAUUGGUUAAACAUUAUUUUUGUGCAAUAAAAACUUGGACAUUUGCAUGCAAUGCCAAAGACUUAAUACCUAAAUUAAAAGGCCUAUAAUAUUUCAUACUACAAUUUUUUCUGGUCCUAAAUUAAAGAUUUUAAAAUUUUCAAAUUAAAACCAUUAUGAUUUAAAAUUAUUAUAGUUUUUACAAAAUAUAAAUUUGAGAAUUUUUAUGAAUAUUUUGAUUUUAAAAAUUAUUUAAAAUUUUAUUUGAAAACUUUUGUUGAGAGAGAUCAAUUUGUUAAUUUUUAAAAUUGACAGGGACCAAAGGAGCAUGUACAUCAAUUUAUUGUUUGAAGUAUUUGAGUUAUUUAAAUUGUAAAAUUCAACUCGAAACUCGAAUUAUAAAAAUAUUUAUUAAUAUAAAACAUAAAACAUAAAAAUUAAAUAUUAAAAAAAUGACAUCAAUAAUAUAUUAUUCUCUAAUAAUAUAUUAAAACGCAAAUUAAAUGUGAAUUUAACAACUUAUUUCUAAUACUAACAACAAAUAAUUUAUGCUAUAAAUUAUUUAUUAUUAGUAUUAUUAUUAUUAUUAUCCCUUGCUGGAAAAGGUUAACCAAAAAGACUUAACUAAAGUGGUGGAACAUUAUUUUGAUGCAGUAUUGACUGGGCAAAAAGACUUGGAAAUUGCAUGCUAUGCCAAACAUGAAAACUACACAUUUGUGUAUAAAUAAGUUGUAUGCCAAGCACAAUCCUUCUUCACACCCAACAAACAUGAACACUCUUCAUUUCCUUAUUUCACUCUUCCUCUUCUCAUGCUUCCUUUCUCUUGUCUUGUCUUUUUCACCUCCUCAAUCUCAUCUCCCUAAGCAAUGCCUUGAUGACCAGAGAGCUCCUCUCCUGCAAUUGCAGCAUCAUCUUUACUAUGCCCCUCAUUUUACUUUCUCUUCCGAAUUUGACCUCUGGGAUGUCAACACUGAUUGUUGCUCUUGGGAAGGAGUCACUUGUGAUGCUUAUGGUCAUGUCGUUGGCAUUGAUCUUAGUUACAAAAACCUUUCAGGCAGCUUUCACCCCAUAUUCAAUCUCCAUCGUCUUCAACGCCUUAAUCUUGCUGGAAACAACUUUAAUACCACUCUGUUUUCCUAUGGGUUUGAUAAACUCCAAAAUCUAACUCAUCUCAACCUUUCAAGCUCAUGUUUCCAUGGCCAAAUUCCAAUGAACAUCUCACACCUAACAAGGUUAGUCUCUCUGAACCUAUCUUAUCAAGAUGAUUGCUAUUGGAGAAAUGGUUACGAUUAUAACUCAGCUACUUUAAAAUUGGAGAAACCAAACUUCAAGACAUUUAUCAAGAAUUUGAAGUUUCUCACGGAGCUUUAUUUGGAUGGUGUCGACAUUUCAACUCAAAGUACUAAAUGGUGUGAAACCACAUCUCUUGUACUUCCAAACCUGCAUGUGUUGAGUCUGUCAAGCUGUGGUUUGAAAGGUCCAUUAUGUUCUUCACUCUCAAGACUCUCUUUUCUUUCCAAACUUAUCCUUGAUUGGAACCCAAUCUCUUAUUUACCUCCCAAUUUCUUGGAAAUUUCCUCUCGUUUGGUUUCUCUCAGUUUGAGGAACUGCAAUUUGAGUGGCCAUUUUCCAACUGAAAAUCUCUUAUCGCCAAAAAUGCAAAGCAUUGACAUUUCAGAUAAUGACCAACUUAUGGGUCAGUUGCCAGAAUUUUCAUCAAACAAUUCUUUACAGAGUUUGUCGCUUUCUUAUACAAAUUUCAGUGAAAAACUACCCCAAUCAAUUGGUAACCUCAAGUUCCUGACAAAUUUAGAGCUUGAUGAUUGCAAUUUUUUUGGACCCAUUCCAUCGUCAAUUGCAAAUCUUAGUCACCUGGUCAACCUAUAUCUAGGAGGGAACAAGCUUUCUGGAUCAAUACAUUCUUCUUUAUUUACUCUUCCAUCGUUGAAGAUCUUGUAUCUUGGAGAAAAUCAAUUGGUUGGGAAAAUUGAUGAGUUCCCCAAUGCAUCUUCUUCUUUGAUUCAAGAAUUAUAUAUAGGCAAUAAUUAUUUAAAAGGAACAAUCCCAAAAUCAAUCCUUCAACUUCCAAGGCUUGAAUGGCUUUAUAUCCGAGACAAUAGCUUCAGUUCCAUGAAGCUUGACAUGUUUGUCCAACUCAAGAACUUAAAGGGUCUCUACUUAUCCAACGUAAGCUUGUUAAUUGACAGCGACAACGGAAGUCUUACUUUUCCCCAAUUAGAGAGCCUAGGGCUAAAGUCAUGCAACCUUACUGAAUUUCCAGAAUUCAUUAAAAGGCAAGACAAGUUGGUUGACUUAUAUCUUUCUAGCAAUCAUAUCCAUGGUGUUGUGCCCAAUUUGUUGUGGAAGAGCAGUCUUUCAUGGGUAGACCUUUCUUUCAAUAUGAUUGAUUUUCCAAAACAGCUUCCCUUAAAUGAUGCUAACUUCUCAUUUCCAAUGUUGAAAGUAUUGCAUUUGAGGUCUUGUAACAUAAGUGCGUUUCCAGAGUUCAUCAAAACUGUUGAAAGCUGGACUGCAAUGCAACAUGGAGCCAAAAGCUUGCUACUAUCGAGACCAGCAGCUAUCGAGCUCAGCUCGUUUUGCUUGGUGCGCACGAAUGGUUUUUGAACUGAAUGAAGCAACCAACUUUGCUGUUUUGUUUUGAUGUAAUUUGAUUCAGUUCAACUUUAGUUUGUUUGUAAUGCUAGUUAAACUUAAGUUAGUGACAUGAUCUUUUGAUGUAAUGGCUGAUUGGUCAGCUAUGUUUGAUUAUUUUUGGCUAGUGAUUAGGUUUGUAUUAGUUGGGGCAGUUAAAUACAUUAGGUAACUGUCAAUGUACAAUUGUAACUCUUUUAUAUAUUUCAAGUUGAAUGAAAAAUGAGGUAUGUUCAGUCACAAACAUUGCUGAGUAUUUUGAUUUUUGAUGCUUUGCUUGCCUUGAUUCUUCUUGCUUCAGUCUUGCAAACAUUGAGUUGCAAAUUUGCUUUGAUGUUUGCUGCUGUCAUUGUUCCAACAAAUGGUAUCAUGAGCCCGAGUCUUUGAGGGGCCUUUGUAUGCAAUCUGUUGUGUUCGAAACAAAACCAACAGCAAGUUCAAAAUUUGGUAAGAUUGAAGCAUUUAAAAUCAGUUCAGCAGAAUGAGUUUCACUCCACCACCUCCACCAGUGUUCACUGGAGAAAACUAUCACAUUUGGAUAGUUAAAAUGAAGACUUAUCUCUAGGCACAUGAUCUUUGGAGUGUGAUCGAGAAUGAUGCUGAACCACCUCCAUUGAGAGCCAAUCCCACCAUUGCACAGAUGAGGCAACAUACUGAGGAGCGAGCCAAGAAGCAUAAGGCUAUGGCCUGCUUGCAAAAUGGAGUCUCUGAUGUGAUAUUUACUCGCAUCAUGGCCUGUGACUCACCUAAGCAGGCUUGGGAGAAGCUGAAGGAGGAGUUCAUGGGGACUGAUAAGACAAGGCAACAGCAAGUAAUCAACCUCAGGAGAGACUUUGAAAACUUGAGGAUGAAGGAGUCUGAGACCAUCAAGCAGUACUCAGACAGGAUAAUGGCCAUUGUCAACAGCAUUAGGCUCCUGGGAGUGGACUUCACAGAGAGCAGAGUUGUUGAAAAGGUUAUUACAACUCUUCCUGAGAAAUUUGAGUCUAAAAUCUCUUCACUUGAGGACUCGAGGGACUUAUCAGCCAUUUCAUUGUCUGAGCUGAUAAAUUCCCUAUAUGCACUUGAGCAAAGGAGGGCAAAUAGGCAGGAGGAGAAUCCUGAAGCUGCUUUCCAGGCUAAAGCCAGUGAAGGCUCGAGUGUGAGUGCAAAAGGCAAGAAGCCUUGGCACAAUAGAAGGGUCAAGUCAGGAAGAGAUGAAGCAAAAAGGGUGUUCCCACCAUGUGUUCAUUGCAAGAAGACAACACAUUCAGAAAAGUAUUGCUGGUUUAGGCCAGAUAUUCAGUGUAGAAAAUGCAAACAGUUUGGCCAUGUGGAGAAGGUGUGCAAGGGCAAACCAAGGGAGGCUACUCUGCAACAAGCUAGACCUGCUGAGGACAUUCAAGCUCAGGAGGAGCAAGUGUUCACAGCAACUUGUUUUGUUGGCACAACCAAGGCCAGCAAUGAUUGGCUACUAGACAGUGGCUGCUCACACCAUAUGGCAGCAGAUGAGAAACUGUUCAAAAGCCUAGACAGAAGCUUCCACUCGAGGAUUAGAAUUGGAGAUGGUAGGCUGAUUGAGGCUAAAGGCAAGGGCAGUGUGUUGAUUAGCACUGGUUCAGGUAACAAGCUGAUCUCAGAUGUGUUUUUUGUACCUGAAUUAGACCAGAAUUUGCUUAGUGUGGGCCAAUUAGUUGAAAAGGGCUAUACAUUGGUUUUUAAGGAUGGUUGCUGUAUUGUUCAAGACAUGAAUGGUCUGGAGUUAGUCACAGUCUCUAUGACUGAUAGGUGCUUCAUGCUGGAUGUUAGCCAAAUAGAAAGAAAGGCAUACACCAGCCUUGUUGAAAGCACUGACUUGUGGCAUAGGAGACUAGGCCAUGCAAAUUUUAGAUCUAUUGAUCUAUUACAUAGGCUGAAUCUGGUUGAUGACAUUUCAAAAAUUGAAGCUAGUGGGAAUGUUUGUGAGGUUUGUCAGCUUGGUAAGCAGGCUAGACUGCCUUUUCCUGCUGACAGUGCUUGGAGAGCUCAAGACAAGCUCGAAUUGGUGCACUCUGAUGUUUGUGGCCCUAUGAGAACACCUUCAAUCAGUGAGAACAGGUACUUUGCCUUGUUUAUAGAUGAUUUAACAAGGUUAUGCUGGGUCUAUUUCUUGAAGCAAAAGUCAGAAGUGUUUGAAGCCUUCUGUAAAUUCAAGGCUUAUGCUGAAAAUCAGUCAGGCUGCAAAAUUAGAGCCUUGAGGACUGAUAAUGGAUCUGAAUAUGUGUCUGAGAGAUUUCAGAAGCUUUGUGACAAUGCUGGGAUUCACCAUCAGCUCACAACAGUCUAUUCUCCUCAACAGAAUGGAGUCUGUGAGAGAAAGAAUAGGACUGUACUGAACAUGGCCAGGUGCCUCUUGUUUCAAGGCAAGCUUCCAAGUCAGUUUUGGGCUGAGGCAGUCAACACCUCAGUGUAUCUGCUCAACAGACUGCCAACUAGAGCAGUCAAGGAUAAGACUCCUUUUGAGGCUUGGCACGGAGUCAAACCUGUGAUAACACACUUAAAAGUGUUUGGCUGUGUAUGUUAUGCACUUAUUCCAGUGGAGAAAAGGACCAAGCUUGAGAGUAGAGCAACUCCAGGAAUCUUUGUUGGCUACAGCAGCAAUAAGAAGGGCUAUAGAGUGUAUGAUCCUACAGCAAAGAAGGUUUUAGUCAGCAGGGAUGUUAAGUUUGAUGAGGAAAAGGUGUGGAAUUGGAAUGGUGUUGUGGCUAACUUGUCUGAAUUGGACCAGUUAGACUUGGUUGAACCUGCAGAAGAAGGACCAAGUAAUGAUGCUGUCGAUGAUAUACCAGUGAGGGGCACCAGAACUUUGGUUGAUGUUUAUCAGAGGUGCAAUGUUGCUGUGAUUGAGCCCUCAGACUUUGAAGAGGCUGCUAAAAACAGAAGCUGGAUGAAAGCUAUGGAAGCUGAGUUGGAAAUGAUCAACAAAAAUCAGACUUGGGAGUUGGUGAGCAGACCAGAACACAAGAGGGUCAUAGGAGUUAAAUGGGUGUAUCGGGCCAAGUACAAUGCUGAUGGCUCACUGAACAAGCACAAGGCCAGGCUUGUGGUGAAGGGCUACAGUCAGCAGUAUGGUGUUGACUACCUAGAAACUUUUGCUCCAGUGGCAAGACUGGAUACAAUUAAGCUACUGUUUGCUUUAGCAGCUCAGAAGCAGUGGAGAGUUCACCAAUUGGAUGUCAAAUCAGCAUUCCUGAAUGGUUUUCUCAAGGAGGAGAUCUUUAUCGAGCAACCUGAAGGUUUUGAAUUUGUUGGACAUGAAGACAAAGUGUAUAAGUUGAGAAAGGCCCUCUAUGGCCUGAAACAGGCACCAAGGGCCUGGUAUGACAGAGUUGAUGCCUACCUGACCAAACUUGGAUUUGCAAAGAGCCUUAGUGAGCCUACUCUAUAUGUUAAAAAGUCAGAACAUGAAACCUUGCUGAUAGUCUCCUUGUAUGUGGAUGAUUUGCUUGUGACAGGGAGCAAAAUCGAGCUCAUUGAUCAGUUCAAGGUCCAAAUGCAGCAAGUGUUUGAGAUGACAGAUUUGAGGAUCAUGACUUACUUCCUUGGCAUGGAAGUGCACCAAUCUGAUCGAGGUAUCUUCAUCAGCCAACACUCAUUUGCUUUGAAGAUUCUAGACAAAUUUUGCAUGCAUAACUGUAAAGCAGUCAGCACACCUGUGGCUCAAGGAGAAAAGCUGACUAGCAGUGGUGAUCAGCAGAGGGUUGAUGAGAGGCACUAUCGAAGCCUGGUUGGUUGUCUGUUGUAUCUAACAGCAACCAGGCCAGAUAUCAUGUUUGGUGUCAGCCUGUUAUCAAGAUUUAUGCAUUGUUGCAAUGAGGCACAUUUGAAGGCAGCAAAGAGGAUCCUUAGAUACAUCAAGGGCACUGCUAGUUUUGGUGUAAUGUUUGAAAGUCAGAACCAACUGAAAUUAGAAGGCUACUCUGACAGCGACUGGGCAGGAUCUCUCGAUGACAUGAAGAGUACCUCUGGAUACUUCUUCACACUUGGAUCGGGUAUGUUUUGCUGGAGUUCUAAGAAGCAACAAACUGUUGCUCAGUCCACAGCUGAAGCAGAGUACAUUGCUGCAGCAGGAGCAGUUAAUCAGGCCAUUUGGCUAAGAAAGCUGCUUUAUGACCUUAAUGAAACUCAAGAUGAAGCAACUGAAAUCUGGGUGGACAAUCAGUCUGCAGUUGCAAUAGCCAAGAACCCUGUGUUCCAUGGCAAGACUAAGCACUUUAAGAUCAAAUUGCAUUUUGUUAGAGAGGCUGAACAAGCAAAGGAAGUCAGCCUUGUGAAUUGCAGCUCAGGAGCACAAUUGGCUGACAUAAUGACCAAGCCCUUAGGGGCUGCUCGAUUUGAAUCUUUGAGAAGUGCAAUUGGAAUGUGUUGCAUACAGUCCAAGGAGGAGUGUUGAAAGCUGGACUGCAAUGCAACAUGGAGCCAAAAGCUUGCUACUAUCGAGACCAGCAGCUAUCGAGCUCAGCUCGUUUUGCUUGGUGCGCACGAAUGGUUUUUGAACUGAAUGAAGCAACCAACUUUGCUGUUUUGUUUUGAUGUAAUUUGAUUCAGUUCAACUUUAGUUUGUUUGUAAUGCUAGUUAAACUUAAGUUAGUGACAUGAUCUUUUGAUGUAAUGGCUGAUUGGUCAGCUAUGUUUGAUUAUUUUUGGCUAGUGAUUAGGUUUGUAUUAGUUGGGGCAGUUAAAUACAUUAGGUAACUGUCAAUGUACAAUUGUAACUCUUUUAUAUAUUUCAAGUUGAAUGAAAAAUGAGGUAUGUUCAGUCACAAACAUUGCUGAGUAUUUUGAUUUUUGAUGCUUUGCUUGCCUUGAUUCUUCUUGCUUCAGUCUUGCAAACAUUGAGUUGCAAAUUUGCUUUGAUGUUUGCUGCUGUCAUUGUUCCAACAAAAUCACAGUUUGACAGACUCAACACACGCAGGUUGGAAAGUACAAGAGAUGUGGUUUCACACCAUUUAGCACUUUGAGUAGAAAUGUCCACACUAUCCAAAUAAAGCUAUGUGAGAAACCUCAAAUUCUUGAUUAAUGUCUUGAAGUUUGGAUUCUCUAAUUUAAGAGGCUGUUGAAGUUCGUAAGGCAAUGAAAAACGGUUGUAGAAGCCAGGGUAGAGAACUUUGUAAUAUCUCAAAUAACAAGAAUCUUGAUUGGACAGAUCAAGAGAGACUAACCUUUUUAGGAAUGAGAUCUCCACUGGAAUUUGGCCAUGGAAACAUGAGCUUGAAAGGUUGAGAUGAGUUAGAUUUUGGAGUUUAUCAAACCCAUAGGAAAACAGAGUGGUAUUAAAGUUGUUUCCAGCAAGAUUAAGGCGUUGAAGACGAUGGAGAUUGAAUAUGAGGUGAAAGCUGCCUGAAAGGUUUUUGUAACUAAGAUUAAUGCCAACGACAUGACCAUAAGCAUCACAAGUGACUCCUUCCCAAGAGCAGCAAUCAGUGUUGGGGUGCCAAAGCUCAAAUUUGGAAGAGAAAGUAAAAUGAGGGGCAUAGAAAAGAUGAUGUUGCAAUUGCAGCAGAGGAGAUCUCUGGUCAUCAAGGCAUUGCAUUGGGAGAUGAGUUUGAGGAGGUGAAAAAGACAAGAGAAGAGGAAGGAAGCAUGAGAAGAGAAAGAGUGAAGAAAUAAGGGAAUGAAGAGUGUUCAUGUUGGGUGGGUGUGAAGGACGAUUGUGCUUGGCAUACAACUUAUUUAUGAGUGAUUGGCAUUGCAUGCAAUUUCUGAGUCAUUUUGCCAAAUCAAGACUCCAUCAAAAUACUGUUCCACCAAUUUAGUUAAGUCUUUUUGGUCAAUUUUUUCCAACAUAGGAUAAUAAUUUAUUAUUUAAAGCUGUUAGUGAUGAUGCAUAAAUUAUUUAUUGUUAGUAUUAGAGAUAAGUUGUUAAAUUCACACUUAAUUUACUUUAUGUCUUUCCUUUUUGUUAAUUUUAAUUUUGAAGAAUGAGAUUUUAAUAUUUUAUGGAUCUCAUUAAAUUAUUAAUGCCAAGGUUGUAGUUUUCUUGCCCACUCCUUACUCUAUAUAAAUAAUCAUCUAAAUCUAAGUUAUUAAAAAAGACUAAAUUAUAGCACUUUAAACCCUAUUAGAACCAUUACUACGCAUAGGAUGAGCAAAUAUGAUAAUUCAACUGAUAUUUUGAGUUUAAAUUAUAUAUUUUAGGUAUCGACUUUUUAGCACAAAAAAUCCAUGUUACAAAUAUUUUAACUUUAAUUUAUUUUAAACUCAGGUAAAUUUUAUCAUUUUUAUGUUAUAUAUAAUUAUUUCUACAACAUUUAAUUUUUUUUUAAAUAAAAAAAUUACAAUUUAAUUUUUUAAGUAAACUAUGUUAUAGCACCAAAAAUAUAAAUUUUAACUUAUAAUAUAAAAUCAAUUUUUUAAGAUGAAAAGAUCACUUUUGAAGGGACAUGGACGGAAGCGUCAGUCCUGUAGUACGGAGAAACGAUAAAUAUUUGUUGAGAAGGCUAAAUGCGGAUUCUAAGCCUCAUGAGCCCUUUUUGGGAAUCUCGACAACAUUUGGCUAAAUGAAUUUAAUGGCUCAUGCUUUUUGGGGAAAAAUAAAUAAACUUAAUAAAAAUGAAAUUUUAUUGAAUAAAUGAAAGAAACAAAUGCUAAAGCUUUUUGGGAGAGAGAGCUUUUACAGAAAAGAUGAGUUAAAUCUGUGUCACUCCAUCCCCUAUUUAUAGUACUCAAAAGACCUAGUUUAUUCCUUUCUAAAUUCUAAAAGAUAAAUAAAGAUAAAAGCUAGAAUUAAAUCUAAAUAAUAAUCUUAACAAUAAUCCUAAUAUAAUUAAAAUUCAAAUAGAGUCUUGUGUUUAUAAAAUCUCUUCUUUGAACUAUUGCCCCCAAGUCUUCCACACUUUGCAUUUUCGGCACCAUUUCUUUCCUAUUUUGCAUCCUGACCCAUUUUAUCUUCAAAUUCAUGAUUUUUGCCCCUAAAUUUUAUUUUUCCUUCAAUUUAGUCCCUACAAUAUAAAAACCAUAAAUAGCUCAAUUUAGUAGGAUCAUACUCAAAAUAAAAUAUAUAAGUAAUUAAUACAUAAAGAUAUGUCAUUCCAGAGUAUUAUCAACAACGUUCAACCAUUGUGUACAAAUCAAGUCACAUUAUAAAGACAAAAUUAUAGUAAGUUUCUUAGUUGGAUGAGUGGAAAUUUUGAUGAUACAAUAUAUACAACUUUUCACUUUUGAAAGAAACAUUUUUAAAUUUCGGCUUUCAAACUUUCUUAGACUGUAUUUGGAGGAGAAAUUUGGAGAAAAAAUUUCAUUUCUAUAUUAUUAUUUAAUUUUAAUAUUUCUUAUGUUUUAUAUUAUUAAAAAUAUUUAUAAUUUAAUUUCGAGUUGUAUUUUACAAUUUAAAUAACUCGAAUAAUUCAAACAAAAAAUUGGUGUACAUGCUCCUUUGGUCCUUGUCAAUUUUAAAAUUUAACAACUUGAUCUCUCUCAACCAAAAUUACAAAAUAAUUUAAAAUAAUUUUCAAAAUAUUCAAAAUAAUUUUUAAAAUUCAAAAUAUUCAUAAAAAUUCCAAAAUUUUAUAUUUUUAAAAAUUAAAAUAUUUUUUUUUAUUUUUCAUUUUUGGGGGAGAUGAGAUUGAGAAAGAGAGGAUGAGAAGAGAAAGAAGAAAGGUAGAAAAGGUGAAACAAGGAAAUGGAGUCUCAUGUUGGUUGGGUAUGAAGAAAGAUUAUUUUCAUGCAACAUUUUAUACAUAAAUUUGUAGUUUCCAUAAAACAUUAUCUUUUUACUUAAUAAUUAAUUCCAAUGCAUAUCAUUAUUUACAAAAGUAAAGGUAAUAUGGAAAUUUUUUGAAAUAUUUUAAUUAAAUCCUUAAGUUAAUUAUGAUGAUUCAAUGUGCAAACUAUUUAAAUUUUGGUUAAAAUAUGUUGUUAGUUCUUGUAUUUUGGUCAAAUUUAAGAUUUAGUUCAUAUAUUUAAAAAGUUAAAAAUCUCAGUGCAAUCAUUAAAUCGCAAGUAUUUUUUGUAAAACUUGUCAACUUGAAAUUUUGAUUAAUGUGUCAUCUUAUGGCGUGACAUAUGAUUGAUGAAAAUAAACAUAUUAAACUGAUAAAUUUUGACAAAAACUAUCAACGAUGAUAAUGGCUUGAUUAUGAUUUUUAAAUUGAAAAAGUAGAAGAAUUGAAUUUUUAACUUUUAAAGUAUAGGGAUCAAAUAUUAAAAUUAAAAAUUAAAAAAAUAUGUUAAUUUUUUAAAAAAAUACAUAAAAUUGGAGUAAAAUGUUUGACAGGCGUGUGGAAAUAUUGCAGCCUAUUGCCCUAUUGUUGCUUUAUGCAAUUAAUCUUUUAUUGGCCAAAGUAAUUCCAAUUUCCAAUUAUAUAAUGGUAACCACUAAAAGCAAAAGUAGUGGGAAACAUCCACCAAAUCAACAAAGAGAAACUGCAAAAUCAUUGAUUUCAAACCCAUUUAAUUUCCAUGAAUCUUCCCCAUAUAUUAAAGUCAUCCUAAAUUACAAUUUUAAAAUUUUUCAUACUCUCUUCUUAGUCUUCAUAUCAAUUUCUUCAUGUUUCACACUUAUUUUGCUUUACCAAUGUCUUUUUUGUUUUUCCAUUUGUUAAUUCCAAUUUUGAGCAUGAUAUUUGAUUGGAAUUUGUUGGGUUGUUUUCUAGUCACCAUCAGCCCGACUUUAGGGUAGUUUGGGAAUGUGGCCGUUUAGGGCUCUAAAAAUUUCUUUUUUUGAUACAAUGCCUAAAACUACCCAGUCUCUCCCCAAUCCAUAAAUAGGAGGAUAAUGCACUUCGGCGUACUCGAACCCACGUCCUUCUGUUAAAAUAAAAAUUUAAGUAAAAUUAUAAAACUAAUCCCUACAAUUUUUGUUUUGAAUGAAUUUAAUUCUUUUGGCUUUUAUUUCUACCGGGGAUAGUUUCGUUGAAGUAAAUGAUUUCUUCUCUUAGCUAAGUAAUUUUCUCUCGCAUUAUGAGUACUUCAUAUUUGCUUCUUUAAAUUCAAACCAGAGUCAUAUCACAGCAAAGGAUGAUGAUGAAGCUAUUAGUCUUAAUGGAUGAAUUAUUUAUUCUUAGUCUUAGCAUUAAGGUUUUCAAUUCACAUUUAAUUUGCUUUUGCAUCUUCAAUUUUUUAUAUAUAAUUUUUUUUCAAUUCUAAUUUUGAAAUAUGAGAUUUUUUUGGUCUUAGUGUUCUUAUUGAUGCCAAUAUUUUAGUCUUUCUGUCUCAUCCUUAUUCUAUAUAUAUAUGAAAAUUUUCUUAUAUCUAAAUUAUUAAAAAGACAAAAUAGUAGCAAUAAUAACAUAAAACCUUGUUGGAGUCAUCACCACGCAGAGAAUGAACUGUGUCACCACUCCUGCUGGUUAAAUUAAGGAAUUGCAAGGCUGUAUGAUCCACAGGAAAGACAACCCAUGGUUGCACAUUAUUCAGGUCCCAUGUCUGCAACUAUGGCUCGACCAUGAUUAGCUAAAGAUAAUUCAACCACACCCUCUCCUAUAACCACAUUAAAAAUAGUUACAUUGAUGAUAAAGUCCUAUAAACCUGAAAUUUUUUAUAGUAAAAUCAUUCUAUUCUUAAGAUUUAUGAUCAUAGACUUAACCAUAAAACUAAAAAAUUUUUGCCAACGCUAUGCUUUCUCAACAUCUUGUAAGUUCUUGGACGAUGUGAAUCUACCAACACCAAGCUAUACCAUGCUCAGGGGCUGCAUAAAUUGCAAGAUAUAGAAGUAAAUAAGUUAUAUACUCCUGGUAAAAUAUAGAGGGAAAAUUACAAACUAGUGGAUUAAUCUUGUUAAGAUCAUUGUCAAGAUUCUUAACAGUGUCUCACAUGCCAGUGAGGUCAACUGCUGGUGGCACUCCAGUGUAAUUCUAAGAUAAUAAGAUUUCAUGCAAAUUACAUUUAGAGAACAUGAGCCACCUUAAACAAGAUGCAGACUUGCUUCGGUGAUAAGCCUUUGCACCUUAUGCAUAUCCAAUCUGUACUUUAUGUUGGCAAUGCACGUUUUCUUUUCCAUAGAAUAGAUAACAAACUGCAAUCAACACGCCUUACUGUCUUCUUAGACCAUGAGCCUGAAAAUUAGAACAUGAAGCUUCUCAUUUAUCUACCAACAAGUAUGUCUUUCAUAUGCUUAAACUUAAUUCAAGCAUGAUUAAAGAAGAUGUCAAGGAAAAGAUAAUUAGUUAGAAACUUUUACCAUUGUUUUCAAAGAUAAAGUUAACGAUCUUUGCUUGAGCUUGUCCUGUUUCAAAGAGGCACAUCUAGCAGUGGUGUCUCUUUGCAGAAUCACUCUGUUAAAUGUGGCUUUCAUCAGCAUCAACUCAUCAUAUUAUCUUCCAAGCUGCACAAAAAUAAUUUGAAAAUAAAAUUCUGAACUAAAGAGUAAAUUCAUAUUAAAGAAGGCUUGGAAAAGCCAUGAUCCUUGUUUAUAAUAUAGCAUUAUUGGCAUGAAAGUUCAAUGCUAGAGACAAAUUACGUACCCCUAAUGGCUCUGAAUUGAAGCAAAAAAGAACCUCACAAGGGAGUUGUUGUUCCAAUAGGGUCGGAAGCGUGUAAAUUAUUGUACUAAAAAAUCACACAAAGUUCAAUUCCCAGGGAAGAGAGGUGGAUCACAAGGAUCUCUUAAAUACCAAGUCUUUCCUUAGACAGAAUAUCCCUUCUAUAGUAAUUUAAUAGCACAAUUAAAUACUACUAUUAUACCCUCAAAUAUUGAAAGAAAAAUAGGACAAGAAAAAACACAAGAGUUUUAACGAGGUUCGGUAAAUUAUACCUACGUCCUCGAGCACUAACACCAGAUGAUAACUUUACUAUCUUCAAAGUAUUACAAACAAAUAGAAUUCCUUAAGAAUUCUCAAAUGAGAGAAGAGAGAAAACUAAGAGAGAAAGAUUGGUUGGGAUGAAUUGAAAUGAGAAAUGAGAAGGCCUAUUUAUAGUUGAGGUUUAAGGACCAAACAAUAAAUAGCCCAUUAUCUCAAGGACCAAAAAAAAAUUAUCCCAUGCCACUUUUUCAAAGUCAACUUUAGGGUGCUAAACUUGCACCACUUUGUAUUGUUUGCCAUUAAUGUUGUCUCCCAUUAAUGUUAACAGGAGUUUCUUGAUAUUAGAUUUUGCAUAUCAAGUAUGCUGCUCAUGUUCAACUCACAAUAUUCAUAGAGCAUUCCAAAACUCAUCCUUACCAUAAAUGAGUUCGAUUAAAUUAAAGAAGAUUGAUAGUCAAGACAUUGGGGAGUUUUGCCCCUGCUACAAAAUCGAGAGAGAAAAAAAAAACAAUUUCAGUAUCUGGAUUUAAGAAUUAUGGAUUAGUUGCUCUAACAGAGGAAUGCUUCCUAGGAAAUAAGUUAUAGAAAGGAUUUACAUGAAUCGUAUAGAAGUGAGUAUAUGUAAGUGCAUCAUCACAAACAGCCAAGGACCCUUUUGUCGCUUCUUUCAUUGCUCUUUUCGAAGAGUCUUUUGGAGUUGCAAACCUAAUCCGGCAUUGCGAAAUGAUAAAAUGAAUGUCAAUGCUACAAGCCUACGACUACAAAUACCAUAUGAUAGUGAAGUGUGUCAAGGGACAAAAAAUAAGCUUAGGAAAUUCAGAAUUAGUUUGUAACAUCAAUCUUUUCAAAAUAUAAGCCAACGACUACAAAUACCAUAAGAUUUUGAAUAAUUUGUGAAAGAUAAUGGUUCUUGCAGUUUUUUAAUUUUAGUUAUUAAUAUUUUUAUCACUUUUCAAAGAUAAAUUAAACAAGUGCUUUAGGUUGUUUGCCAACUCUGGAAAGCACACCACAUUGUAAUUAAGACAUCAUUUCGAAUGCCAAAUUGGAUUGAGUCCCUUACUUUAUAUCCACUACUCUGCAUUCGCAUUCAAAUAUAAACUGGCUUUUUAUUGGUUGAAUUGGAUUCGAUAUAUAAACAAUCAAUUUUUUCUUGAAAAAAUCAUUUAAUUGAACAUUGUAAGUAUUAGUUAACUCAACAGUGUCCGAUUAAUUAUCUGAUUUUGUAUUGAAAAUCAUAUAAUAAACAUAUCGUUGUUAAAUAGAUGGGUUUGGAUUUAUUUUUUUCAUUAUCCAAUCCAAGUGUUCUAAUUGAUGCCAAUGCCAAUGUUUCGGACGCUUAAAAUAUUUGGGUUUAGAUUUUUUUUUUCAUGUAUUUGAUGCUUAAAAUAUUUUAGAUGCGGGCCGUCUCGAUUUUAUAUCAUAAUUGUUUAUAUAUAAUUUAAAUUUUUAAAAUGUAAAAGUGUACCAUUAAAAUCUUUUAAUUAAACUUUGGUAUAGCACCCAAAAAUAUAUUAACUUAUAUGUGAAAUCAAUUUACCAAUAAGCAUUUUAGUCCUAAUUUAUUAAUGAGUAUGCAACUUAUGAAUAUGUUAGGAUUUAUCAAAGGGUUAAUUCACUUGAUGUCCCUAAACUAUGGAUUAUAUGUUAAAUUGAACUCUAAACUUCAAAAAAAUAUAAAGCCCAACACAUGAUUGAUAAAAUAUAAAGCUAAUGUCUCUUUGGAAAAGCAAAGGGUGGAAGUAGCAGCGUAUGCGUCUUUUUACACAAUCAGCCCAAUGUCCAUCAGAUUAGGCUUUCAUCAGCAUCAAGCCAUCAAAUCUCCUCAGCUGUUAGGAUCAUUGUUAGGAUCACUGCCUAGAUUCUUCAUGUACCUCAUAACUGUUCAUUCCAUGUCUUGGAUCAAGUACCUAUGCACUUCAACAAGGUAAAUUUGUCAUUGCUACAAGAACAAAUACAAUAUGAUAUGAUAGUGAACUUUGUCAAUAUAUAUUAAGAGAAAAAAUGCUUGUAGUCAUUGUCGAAACCUUUUUGGAAUAAAAUAUAACACACUAAAAAUGAUAGGGACCGAAUAUGAAAAUAUCCCUUGUCCUUAUGCGCACCGUUUCUCAAGGACUAAAAUGAAAUAAAAUUAAAAUUUUGUGGUAAAAAUAACAUAAAACCCAGACCAACAGGUCCACCCUUUACAUCCAAAUGAGCAUUUUGAGCACUAAUUUAUUAAUGAGUAUGGAACUUAUGAAUAUGUUAGGAUUUACCAAAGGGAUAAUUCCUUAAAUUAUGGAUUAAAUUUUAAAUUGAUUUUUAAAUUUUAAAAAAAAUUAAUUAAGUCCUCAUACUAUAAAUCACAUUCUCAUUUGAAAUUUUUAAUUUUGGACUAAAAAAAGAGAAUAUUAGUGUGAGAUAUUGUUGGCCUUUGGCUAACAUUGGAAAGCAUACUAGAUUAAUUUUAAGACAUAAUUUAUUUCAUUAAAUUUUAAUUAUUUUUAUUUUUAUCAUAUUAUUACUUAAUUCAACAAUAUUUUUUAAAUUAAUUUAAUUUUUUAAAUUAAUAAACUAUCAUUGAAAAGAUAAUUAAUUAAACCACUUAUUUUAUUAUUUGAAAGGUCGAGAAAUUGUAAAUUUUUUUGACUCUUUAAGAACUCUAGAAACGCACUUAUGUUACAGGAUCCCAGAUACAAUCGCCUCAACAUUGGGAAAGAGAAGUUUGCAUCACUUAAGGGAAGUUGUUUUGGAAAAUCAAUCAUAUUGAAAGAAAGGUAUACCUGUGAAAGAGUGCUCUUCCACAACCAAUUAGGCACAACACCAUGGAUAUGGUUGUUAGAAAGAUCCAGAGAAAUCAACUUGUCUUGUGUUUUGAUGAAUUCUGGAAAUUCAGUAAGGUUGCAUGAACUUAGCCUUGGGCUUUCUAAUAGGGGAAAACUAAGACUUAUGUUGUCACUUUCAAUUAAGAAGCUUAUAUGUUUGCUUUCAAUUUAAAACCAUUUAUUAUGUUGAUUAAAUCAUAGUAUUAAUUGUUAUUCAAAUUUAAAAUAAAGAAAUUAUCUUAAAUUUAAAAAGUAAAGUAGUUAAUUGAUUCCAAAAGUCUAGUCCAUUAUUUAUAAAACAAAAAAAAAAUAUUUCUCAAGGUAUCUAGUCAGUAAGUAAAUAUUUGCAUUUUGUAAGCCCAUUUAAAGAGUAGAUGCCACGAGUUUUAAAGUUGCUUCAUACUUAAGGCGAGGAUCAAACCCUCGACAUUACUAUAAAUCAUAUUAAUUAUGAUAUUUUCGUCAUUUUGCUUCAUCUUUAUUCUGUAUGAAUAAUAUUCCAGUAUUUCAAUUGAUUUGCCUCAAACUAUGAAUCAGAUCUAAAUUAGUAUCUAAACUUUAAACUAUUCUAAUUAAGUGUUGAAACUAUGAUUAAUAGUUUGAGAGAUUAGUCAUGCAAGCAAAUGUUCAAGUCUUUUGCCUCCUCAUUACUGCAUGAGUUGAACUACUUCGUUUAUAUCAAGUCAUUAAAAAGCAAAUAUAAAUAUUAUUGUCCUUAAUGCAUGCAGAUGCAAUUGUUGAGGUCCUUUUGCGAUAUCAGUAAUGCAUGAAAAUUAUGAUCAACCACUUUGUUGAAGUCUUAUUCUCCUUAUUAAUGCUAAUGUUUCAGUCUUUUUAAGUCUAAGCAUUAUUAUUAAAGUCCAAAACAAAUAAUCAUAUGUUGAAAUAUGUUCAAUAUUUAAAUUUAGUACAUAAAAAUUUAAAAGAAAUCAAAUAAUAGAUUAGAUAUUAAAAUUUGUUGAGUCAAGUUUUUGGAUAUUGCUUAUAGGAAGUAGUCACUUCUAUAACCCUCGCAACAAUUUUAUACUCAUCAUAUUUGAUGUUCGCGAUUUAUUGAUAUAAAAUUUUUAGACAUUAAAUGGUGUUAUUAUUCUAAAUAUAUGCAAGCUCGACUUUGAAAUCCAACUUAUUUUAAACAUCUUCCCUUUUUUGUUGUGGAGAAUGGACCGUGAUUACAUUGAAAAUACCAUUGAAGAAUGAUAAUUAAAAUAAUCAUAUUUUAUACUAUAAAAUAUUUAUUAUUGAAUAUUUAUAAAAUAUAUAUAUUUUUCUCAUUAAAAUAUCAAUAUAAAUAUUUUUUAAUAAUAUAUUAAGAAUAUUAUUUAAAAUUAAAUUAAACUAUUAAAAUUUAUUAAUAAAAUAAAAUUAUAAUAUUAAAAUUAAAAAUACAUUACUAAUAUAAUUAUAUUAAACUUGAUUCAAGUUAGUUUUUAUAUAAAAAUAAAAAUAUUCAUAAAUAAGCUUAGUUCGAUAAAUUAAUUAUGUUUUUCAAAAAGACAAAUUAAUUUACAGAAAAAUGAUAUUAUUUAAAUUUCCAUACUAAAAUACUUUUAAAUUUAAUUAAAAUUAUCAAAGACUAAUGAGAUUCACAAAAUGUCUCAUAUUAUUUAACAACUUCUCAAUUUUUUGAAAAAAUCAAUUUCAUUCUCUCUCUUUUUUUUUCAAAAUUUAUCAACCCUUGAAACACAAAAAAUUUAAUAUUUUUAAUUUUUGACUGACAAAAAAAAUGAUGCUAUGAGAUAUUUUUUAUAUUAUUAGACCUAAUCUUAAUCUUUGGUAUUCCAUGCAAAUGUCUAAAUCUUCUUAGGGAGAUGGAUCGAUGGACAUAAGUAGUGGAAAUUUUGAUGAUACAAUUCUUCUCUUCUUAACAAUUUCUUUCAAAGAAAUAUAUUUAAAUUUCCACACCAAAACUUCUUUAGAUUUAAUUUAAAGGAAUAAAUCCUAAAAUUAUAAAGUAUGGAUUAAUGUGUAAUUGUAUACAGGAAUUUGAAUUUUGUGCAAUGUUAUACAUGAAAUUUUGAUUUGAUCCAAUUCUUAUAAUUUAUCAACACAAUUAUUGAUAUAAAAUCAUUUUAUGUUUAUAUAUUAUAUACAUAAAUAAUUAUAUUUAUCCAAUAUAAAAAUAAAUUGAUGUAUUUAUUUCAUUAAAUGCGUAUGAUUAAAUCAAAAUUAAAGUUCAAAGUAUAUAUUUGAACCACAAUUAGAGUUCCACGUGUAUAAUUACUCCAAACAAAAGUUCAUAUAUACAAUUACACAUUAAAUUAAAGUUGAUAUGUAAUUUUGAGAUUUAUUCCUAUUUGAAAUUAUCAAAGACAAAUGAGAUUAACGAGAUGUAUUAUAUUAUAAACAAAGUUUCAAUUCUUUGAGAAAGUUAAGCUCCAAUUUCAAAAGUUUUUUUUCAAAGUUUAUCAAAUGAAUUCAAAUUUUAAAUCUAAAAUAUGGAUUUUUUUUUAUCUUUUUUAAAUCUAAUGUCAGUUCCAAUUUUCUAGUGUUUUAGAUUGUUUACUAAACUAAAAAGCAAACCACAUUGUAAGGCAUCAUUUCUUUCAUUAUAUAUAUUUUUUUUUACGUAGACACCAAAUUUCAUCGGGAUACAAAUCAGCAUUUUGUGAUAAACUCAAUUUAACUCAACUUUAAUUGUAGCAAAGCUUCUAACCGGGGGCUCUUUUUCCACCAUUUUUCUUCAACACAUUCGGCUCCCAGCUCUCUGGAGGCAUCCUCCAUCACUGAACAUUCUUCACUCACCUUCAUCAUUGCCACCACCAACCACAUCAGCAUCAACAUCAUCAUCUUCAUCUUCAUGGAUACGAUUUCUAUAUCAUUGCACAACGUUUAAAGAACUUCGAUCCUAAAAAGGAUACUUCUAAAUUCAACCUUGUUGAUCCACCUGUGAGGAACGCAGUUGGAGUGCCUGUGAAUGGAUGGGCAACCAUUAGAGUCGUCGCUGAUAAUCCAGGUAAACACCCUUCUUCAUCAUUUCAAUUACUGUGAUUCCAUUACCAUUUUUUUUGUUAUUAGUAUUUUUCUUAAUCAUUUUCAUAGUAUUGUGGCAUACCAAUUCUUCCCUGCAUCUGGGAAACUAGUUUAAUGCUCUGUUUCAUUGGAUAAAUUUCCCUAAAAAGUAUGUGCACAUUGUAAUACUAGUGUGAGAUAGUGUUGGCCUUUGGCUAACAUUGGAAAACAUACUAGAUUGUAACACUAAAAUUCUGAUGGAGUCACCUACACCUUACCUUAAACAUGAUAUGCUGGCAAUAAUGGUGAACGUUGUGAACAUGACAUAGUAAACAGGACAUACAACAGUAGUAUUAAAAGUGUCUAAAGCAUGCAAAAUUGUAAGCUUUUAGUAGCAUCAAGAAUAAUAACUUAAAUUUAGAGUCAAUCAUCAUAUUAAAUCAAGAAUAUAAGGUUGAAAGAAAUUAUUUUUAAAAAAAACACAUUUAUGCUUUUUUAUCCUAUAAGCAAUUUAAUAAUGAACAAAUUGAUCUCUCAACAAAAAUUACAAAAUAUUUCAAAAUAAUUUUUAAAAUUCAAAAUAUUUAUAAAAAUUUUAAAUUAUAUAUAUUUUUUCAAUUGUAAGAAUUUUUUUAUUAUUUUGUUUUGAAAAAGUUUUCAAAUGUAUAUAGUUUUAAAUUUAUGUGCUCUAACAUUGAAUUAAUUAUCUUAUAACAAGAUUUUAAUUUGACAUAUUUAAUUUUUUAAUUGAACUUGAAUAAUUUCACUUGAUUCAAUUUGACUCAAAUUUCAUUUCACUCGACUCAAUUUGAAAAAAUGUCAAAUCAAGUUAGGAUGAUAAAUAGGACUCAUCAGUUCAAUUAACUCAAAAAUUUUUCACUUGAUUCGAUUAAACACUCAUAAAAAUCAUCAAAAAUAAAUGAGACAGAGAUAAUUUGCUGAAGGAUAAGAUGAAAUGUGUUUUAGAAAUUAACAUUUUUUUUCUUUCGCAUGCAAGCUAAUGUUCAAGUCUUUUUACCCAAUAAUGAGUACUCCUAAAUCCUAAUUAUUAAGUAGUAUCCAACUUAUAAAUAUGUUAUGAUCCACCAACGGGUUUAAUUAAAUCCAACACCCCAAAUUAUGGGCUCAACUCUAAAUUCAAGAUUUGGCAUUGCAUGUAAAUGUCUAAGUCUUUGCCCGAUCCUUACUAUAUGAAAACAAUGGUUUACCACUUUGUUUAAGUCAAGUCAUUAUAAACACAAAAAUAAAGCAUAUGUGUUAGCUGGUUGAGAUGGAUUGAUGGGAAUAUGGAGUGGAAAUUAUGAUAACCGCACAAUUUCUGCGAAACUUCGAUUGGUACAAAAUAAGUGCGAGGCUGUACCAAAACCCAACAUGUGUUUGAUAAAAUAAAAACCCCAUGUGUCAGCAAACGGUGGGAGUAGCAGCAUGCAGCUGUCUCUUUACACAAUCAGAACAAUGUCCAUCAGAUAUGGCUUUCAUGUUUGCUGGCUGUGAAGGAGGUUGUUUCCAUACAACUUAUUUAUACACAAAUUAGUACUUUCCAUACAUUAUUUUUAAUUUUGGACUAAGCCCGAUCACUAUUGCAUGAAAAUAAUGUUGUACCACUAAUUUUAUUUUAGUCAAUUAAUAAAAAAAAAUGGAAUUGUGGUGAUUUUUUUUAGCUGGUUGAGAUAAAUUGAUGGCUCAAAAACUAAAUUUUCUCAUAACUUUGAUGACUUUUCAAUGAACUUAAAGUGUAUGGAAUCAAUAGAAAUUUAUGGAAUGAGAUAUUAUUGGACUUAGUCUCAGCCUUUUGGCACUGCAUGCAAAUGUCUAAAUCUUUUUUACCCCAUGAAAACAAUGUUUAGCAAGUUUCUUAGGUAGUUGAGAUGGAUUGAUGGGCACAAGUAGCAGAAAUUUUGAUGAUAAAAUGUUUACAGUUUUUCUCUUCUUAGGCGCAAUUUCUUUGAAAGAAACAUAUUUAAAUUUUCACAUUAAAAUUUCUAUAGAUUUAAUUGAAAUUAUCAAAGACAAAUGAGACUGGCAAGAUAUCUUAUAUUAUUAACAAUUUUUCGAUUCUUUGAAAAAAUUAAUUUCAAUUUCAAAAGUUUUUUGAAAUUAAUAAAACUAUCAUUGAAAGGAUAAACAAACUAGUAUAAAAAUAAGUGUCCGGCUGAACUAAAACUCAGACCAACAGGUCCACCCUUUACACCCGGUCCUAAAGCCCAACACGUGAUUGAUAAAAUAUAAAGCUAAUAUCUGUUUGGAAGAGCAAAGGAUGAGAGUAGCAGCAUCUGCGUCUCUUUACACAAUCCGUCCAAUGUCCAUCAGAUAUGGCUUCCAUCAACAUCAUGCCAUUAAAUCUCCUCAGCUGUACAAAUAUUCUGAAGAUAAAAUAAUUGAAGUAAAAGUAAAUUGCAUAUAAAAGAAAGCUUGGGCAGCCAUUUCCUUGUUUAUAAUAUCAUUAUUAGCAUGGAAAUUCAGUAGCAGUGAAACAUUGCAUCCCCCAAAUCCACAGGGACCUGGAUGCAAAAUGAAUAAACACUUAUUUAUACUCAUGGAAAACUACAACAGGAAAAAAGUGCAUAUAAAGCAAAAUUACAAACCAGUGGAUUGAUCUUGUUAGGACCAUUGCCUACAUUCGUCAUGAACCUCACAACUGUACAUUCCAUGUCCUGCUUCAAGUACCUCCUGCAUUGCUCAAUGGUAACAUCAAAUUACAAGUACGAUAUAAUAGUGAACUUGGUAAAGACAGCAAAAAAUGAGGUUAUAUAUAUAUAUAUAUAUCAACUAUCUGUUCAAAUUAGAAAGACAAAUGCUUACCAGCUAAUUUUGAAGAAAGAAUUCUGAUGGAGUCACCUAUAUCUUCUGCUAUUUCUUUUCCCACACUUUUUGAACUUGUCCACCCAUUUGUUUCCCAACUCAUUCAGCACUGUAUAUCCAAUACAUAGCCCAACGACUAAUCCACUAGCAUAACCUAUCAACGCAAUUUUCCAAGUAGACAGAGCAUUUAACCAUGAAUCUUCACCUUCCCCUGGAGGUGGUGGCAUUGGAAGACUAACUUCAUUGCAUUUCCUUGACAAUGGCAGCCCACACAAUUUUGGGUUCCCACGGUAGGAAUCAUUUGUAAAUGUAAUGAAUUGGUUGCUUUGUGGUAUGCUCCCUUCAAGUUGGUUGCAUGACAAGUUCAAUGCUGCCAGGAAAGUUAAACUUGUAAGUUGUGCAGGAAUCUUCCCUGACAGCUCAUUCUGUGAGAGAUCCAAAGAUUCAAGAUCUUUUAGAUUUUCAAGUGCUAAUGGGAUUUCACCAGAAAAGCCAUUGUUGGAUAAGUUUAUCACUCUGAGUGACCUCAGCAUUUGUAUCUCUUCUGGUAUUCUCCCAUGGAAACUAUUGUUGGAAAGGUCAAGACAAGUAAGAAUUGUCAAGACUUUUUGGUACAACAUUUCAAUCCCUCUGUUAACAAUUGUCACAGAGUCUUGAUAAUAAUUCUCUCCGAUAUAAUCCAGCGUAGCCUUUUCAUCAUUAGUCAUCUCCGCCAUUGCCUUCAAACUCUGCAAAAAUUCAAUAGACAAGUCACCUGAAAAAUUGUUGGAAGCAAUGUCCAAUAUGCGUAGCUUUGGAAACCCACGUUUCGUGUCAAUUUUUGAAAUUGUGCCGUAGAAUCUGUUUGCUCGCAAAACGAGAACCUUCAAGGAAGGUAGCUUCUCUAACCAAAAUGGGAAUGUAUCAUGAACCAUAUUAUUUCCAAGGUCCAGAACCUCAAGUGCUGUGCAAUUGGCUAAUGAUCUCGACAGCUUCCCUUCCAAUUUAUUCCCACCUAUUUUGAGUGACCUUAGUCGAGUGGGUUGAAGGAAAUCAAUGGAUAGUUCACCAGAAAACUGGUUUGAAGCAAUGUCCAAUACAUCCAAAGUUGGGAAAACAGAUUUAUGUUUGAAAUGUUUAAUUUGACCAUAAAAUCUGUUUUCCCGCAAUAUUAGAACCGUCAAGUAAGGCAAUUUCUCCAACCAAAAAGGGAAUGUAUCAUUCAUCUUGUUGCUUCCCACGUCCAAAACUUCAAGCUGAGUGCAUUCAGCUAAUGAUCUGGGCAACUUUCCUUCCAAUCUAUUCUCACUAACUUUGAGAAACGACAGUUGGGUUGCUUUUGAAAAUUUUGGCAUCAUUCCACUGAAGUUAUUUCCUUGCAGAUCCAACGAAUAGAGAGCACUCAUAUUGCCCAAGCAAUUCGGAAUUGGGCCACUCAAACUGUUAUAAGAUACAUCAAAACGGCCGAGUCGACUCAUUUUGCAUAACCAAUUUGGAAUUGGGCCACUCAAAUUGUUAGAAGAUGCGUCGAAACUGAAAGGCCCCUGUGAAAAAUUUGAACUCUGAUUGGGUAGAAGUUGUUCCAAAGACGAGAGAUGGUUAUUAGCAAGAUACAGAUACCGCAAACUUUUCUUCCACACCCAGUUUGGAAUUGCACCACUUAUUUUAUUAUUUGAAAGUUCGAGAUAUUCCAAAUUUUCUUGACUCUUUAAGAACUCUGGAAAUGAGCUUAUGUUACAAGAUUCCAGAUACAAUUCCCUCAACAUUGAAAAAGAGAAGUUUAAAUCACUUAAGGGAAGCUGUUUUGGAAAAUCAAUCACAUUGAAAGAAAGGUUUACCCUUAAAAGAGUGCUAUUCCACAACCAAUUAGGCACAACACCAUGGAUAUGGUUGUUAGAAAGAUCUAACACAACCAACUUGUCUUGUGUUUUGAUGAACUCUGGAAACGCACUUAUGUUACAAGACCUCAAAUGCAAUACUUUCAACAUUGGAAAUGAGAAGUUAGCAUCAUUUAAGGGAAGCUGUUUUGGAAAAUCAAUCAUAUUGAAAGAAAGGUCUACCCAUGAAAGACUGCUCUUCCACAACAAAUUGGGCACAACACCAUGGAUAUGAUUGCUAGAAAGAUAUAAGUCAACCAACUUGUCUUGCCUUUUAAUGAAUUCUGGAAAUUCAGUAAGGUUGCAUGACUUUAGCCCUAGGCUCUCUAAUUGGGGAAAAGUAAGACUUCCGUUGUCGCUGUCAAUUAACAAGCUUACGUUGGAUAAGUAGAGACCCUUUAAGUUCUUGAGUUGGACAAACAUGUCAAGCUUCAUGGAACUGAAGCUAUUGUCUCGGAUAUAAAGCCAUUCAAGCCUUGGAAGUUGAAGGAUUGAUUUUGGGAUUGUUCCUUUUAAAUAAUUAUUGCCUAUAUAUAAUUCUUGAAUCAAAGAAGAAGAUGCAUUGGGGAACUCAUCAAUUUUCCCAACCAAUUGAUUUUCUCCAAGAUACAAGAUCUUCAACGAUGGAAGAGUAAAUAAAGAAGAAUGUAUUGAUCCAGAAAGCUUGUUCCCUCCUAGAUAUAGGUUGACCAGGUGACUAAGAUUUGCAAUUGACGAUGGAAUGGGUCCAAAAAAAUUGCAAUCAUCAAGCUCUAAAUUUGUCAGGAACUUGAGGUUACCAAUUGAUUGGGGUAGUUUUUCACUGAAAUUUGUAUAAGAAAGCGACAAACUCUGUAAAGAAUUGUUUGAUGAAAAUUCUGGCAACUGACCCAUAAGUUGGUCAUUAUCUGAAAUGUCAAUGCUUUGCAUUUUUGGCGAUAAGAGAUUUUCAGUUGGAAAAUGGCCACUCAAAUUGCAGUUCCUCUGUUGGUGCAAGAGGCAGCAGCAAGCUGUUUCUAGUCUUGCUUGAGUAGUAAGGCUCGAGGCUUGGUGAAGAAGCAAACUCGGAAGCAAUAAAAAACAGAAAGAUGAAGCUAGCAAGUGAAAACAGAAAAGAGAGAAAGAGAUUGAAUGAAAAUGAGCUGAUAUUUUUCAUUAACACAUGAACAAGGCAUUAAGCCAUUACAUAUAUCAGUCAAUAAGUAAAACAAACAAGUAAUCACCUACUAACAUACCUAACACCACUAAAAUGCCUAGUAACUUGGUAAACUUGAUUGAAAAACAAAAAAGCUUCUACCUAAGCUUGUCAUUCAGCACCUAAUUACAUCAAAAUGCAGCUACCAACUAAGUUUGAUCCUAACUAAAUACAAAACAUUCAAUUAAGGAAACCAAAUGAAUAGCUUCAGCUUGCUGCAUCAAUUUGCUGCUGAAGCACGUUCCUUGCAUGGCCACCUUUGCUGCUACAUGGGAGCUGACUUCAACACUCCUCCUCAGCUUCUAUGCAGCAGACUCCUAGCUUCCUCUUCAGGCUUAGAUAUCUUGAUACACCAAGAGGCUUUGUGAAGAUAUCGGCAAUCUGAUUUUCAGAACUGCAAUGGAUUAGCUCAAUUUCUCGAGCUUGUUCCAUUUCUCUUAUCACAUGGAGUUUGAUGUUGAAAUGUUUUGUCCUGCCAUGAAAGACAGGAUUUUUAGCAAUAGCAACUGCUGACUUGUUGUCACAAUGUAUCACAGUUGCUUCAUUCUGCUGUAGAUUCAAGUCACUCAAAAUUUUUCUCAGCCACAUGGCUUGAUUAACAGCAUUGGCAGCUGCUACAUACUCUGCUUCUGCUGUCGAUUGAGCCACCAUUGUUUGUUUUCUUGAGCUCCAACAAAUCAUAGCUGAGCCAAGUGUAAAAGCAUAGCCAGAAGUGCUCUUCAUGUCAUCCUUUGAACCAGCCCAAUCGCUAUCAGUGUAGCCAAUCAGUUUCAACUCUUCAGCCUUUCUAAACUGUAUUCCAUGGUUUAAGGUACCUUUAAUGUAUCUUAGCACCCUUUUCCCAGCCUUGUAAUGUUGCUGGUUACAGCAGUGCAUGAACCUUGAUAGCAUGCUUACAGCAAACAAAAUGUCGGGUCUUGUUGCUGUCAAAUACAAUAAACACCCAACAAGGCUUCUGUAAUCUGUUUCACAGACAGAUUCAUGUUCCUCCUGGCUCGAUAGCUUUAUGCCAAUAGCCAUUGGUGUGCUCACUGGUUUGCAAUUCUCCAUUGAGAAUUUAGCCAGCACUUUCAAGGCAAAUGUCUUUUGUUUCAAGAAGAUUCCUCCUUCUAUUUGAUUGACUUCCAUUCCUAGGAAAUAUGUCAUCAAUCCCAGGUCUGACAUCUCAAACAUUUUCUUCAUUCUUGCUUUGAAAUCAACCAUCAUAAGCUUGUCUCCUCCAGUCACGAGAAGAUCAUCAACAUAUAGUGACACAAUAAGCUGUGUUUCAGCUCCAUUCUUCUUAACAUAGAGUGUUGGCUCACUAGCACUCCUUUCAAAUCCCAAACUGACCAAAUAUGAGUCAAUUCGAGCAUACCAGGCUCGAGGGGCCUGUUUUAGGCCAUACAAGGCCUUUCUUAGCCUAUACACCAAUUGUUCCUUACCAGGCACUAUAAAACCUGGGGGUUGCUCGAUGUAUAUCUCUUCUUCAAGAAAUCCAUUGAGGAAUGCAGACUUGACAUCCAUCUGGUGGAUUGUCCACUGGUUCUGAGCAGCAACUGCAAUCAGCAAUCUGAUUGUAUCGAGUCUGGCUACUGGAGCAAAUGUUUCCAUGUAGUCCAGACCAUACCUUUGACUGAAGCCCUUUACAACUAGCCUGGCCUUUAGCUUGUUUAAGCUUCCAUCUGCAUUGUACUUCACUCGAUAGACCCAUUUUACACCGAUAGUCUUUCUGUUGGCAGGCUUUUCAACCAACUCCCAUGUCUGAUUCUUUACAAUCAUGUUGAUUUCAUCAACCAUAGCUUGUUUCCAACCUUCAUCUGCCUCAGCCUCUUCAAAACUGCUAGGUUCUGCUAAUGCAACCUGUGCCCUUUCAUAAAUAUCUUCUAGGGGCCUUGUGCCUCUCACAGGCACAUCAUCAACAUCCAUUUCAGGUUCUAGCUGCUCAAGUUCAGCUUGAUUAGGCACUAGGUCUUCUGAAAUUGCUUCUGGCUCAUUUUUCUCCCAAUUCCAGCAGGCUUUUUCAUCAAAGAUGACAUCUCUGCUCACUUGGACUUUGUUUGUCAAGGGAUCCAGAACCCUGUAGCCCUUUUUGACUGAGCUGUAGCCUACUAGAACACCUGGUUGAGCCCUUUUAGAGAGCUUGUCUCUCUUUGCUGCUGGUAUUUGUGCAUAACACAGGCAACCAAACACUUUCAGGUGUGCCAAGGAAGGCUUGAAACCAAACCAAGCCUCGAAAGGUGUCUCGGAUGCAAGAGCUUUAGUGGGAAGCCUGUUCUGAAGGUAAACAGCAGUGUUUACUGCCUCAGCCCACAUGGUCUUGGGCAGUUUCUUCUCAAACAGCAGACAUCUGGCCAUAUCCAUCAGACUUCUAUUCUUUCUUUCAGCUACCCCAUUCUGCUGAGGUGUGUAGACAUUUGUAAGCUGAUGUUUGAUACCAGCAUCAUUGCAAAUGGCUUGAAACUGAGCUGAAGUGUACUCAGUGCCAUUGUCUGUCCUUAUCGAUUUCAGCUUGCAACCUGUUUCUGUUUCUACAGCAUUUUUAAACUUCACAAACACUUGAGCUACCUCAGACUUGUGUUUUAAAAAGAAAAUCCAGCAAAACCUUGUAAGAUCAUCAAUAAAGAGGAUGAAAUACCUGUUUUUGCUGAGUGAUUCAGUCCUCAUCGGGCCACAUACAUCAGAGUGCACCAGCUGUAGUCUUUCAGUAGCUCUCCAAGCUGAAUUUGUAGGAAAUGGCAGUCUUGCCUGUUUCCCCAUUUGGCAGACUUCACACACAUCAUCAUGCUCCACUGAGCUGGUGAAGUUCUCUGCCAUGCCCUCUUUGGCCAAUCGAGCCAUUGAUCUGAAGUUGGCAUGUCCAAGCCUUUGAUGCCAAAGCUUGGAGUCUUCAACAGAGGCUGUGUAUGCUGAGUUUGAGUCAUUUGCCCAGUGAACCUCAAAGCAUUUAUCAGUCAUUGUGACUGUCAUAAGGCUUGAUCCACUUGGAUCAGUAAUAUGGCAUUGUUUAUCCUUGAACACAACAGAAUAACCUUUCUCGAGCAGUUGAGCUAUGCUGAGAAGGUUUCUGUCAAUCUGUGGUACCAACAGCACAUUUGGAAUGAUCUUGUUGCCUGUGGGAGUAGAUAUCAGCACUUCUCCUCUUCCUUCAGCCCUUAUAAACUGACCAUUUCCAACCUUGACCUUGGUUUUAUAACUUCUGUCCAAGGUUUUAAACAAGGAGGCAUCUGGUGACAUGUGGUUAGUGCAACCACUGUCCAGCAGCCAGCCUUUAGAGCAUUUCUUCUCAGAAGCUACACAGGAAACAGCAAAGACCUGUUCUUCUUGGUCACUACUGUCCUCAGCUACUCGAGCUUCAACCUUUGACUGCUGAAAUUGAUUCUGCCUUGGCUUACUUCUGUUUUUGCAGACCCUUUCAACAUGGCCCUUCUUCUUGCAGUGUUGGCAUACUGCAUCUGGCCUAAACCAGCAUCUGUCUUCUGGAUGGCCAGGCUUCUUGCAAUAUCUGCAUGGCUGGUCAUUGCUCCUUGCAGCAUCAGGCUUAGGCCUGUUUUUCCAAGGCCUUUUGCCUCUUUGAGCAUUAGUGCUCGAGGUUUCUCUGGCCUUGGCUUGAAAUGCACCUUCUUGGUGAUCUUCAGCUCUGCUAGCUCUUCUUUGUUCCUGAGCAUAAAAGGUGUUGAUUAGCUCAGUCAAAGAGAUGCUAGCAAGAUCUCUUGAGUCCUCUAGAGAGGAUAUCUUGGCCUCAUAUCUCUCAGGCAAAGUGGAGAGGACUUUCUCCACAAUUCUUGCCUCAUCAAAGUGCUCACCUAGGAGCCUUAUGCUGUUAACCACUGCCAUAAUUCUAUCUGAGUACUGCUUCACUGUUUCUUCUUCCUUCAUCUUCAAAUUCUCGAAAUCCCUUCUCAAGUUUAGCAGCUGCUGUUGCCUUGUUCUCUCAGUGCCUUGAAACUCCUCCUUAAGCUUAUCCCAGGCCUGUUUUGGAGUCUCACAGGCCAUGAUUCUGGUGAAGAUGACAUCUGACACACAGUUCUGGAUGCAGGACAUGGCUUUGUGCCUUUUGGUCCUCUCAUCAGCAUGUUGCCUAAUCUGAGCUACUGUGGGAUUAGCCCUCAGUGGUGCUGGCUCAGUAUCUGUGUUGACAACUUCCCACAGAUCAAAAGCCUGUAGGUAAGUCUUCAUCUUGACCAGCCAUAUGUGAAAGCCUUCUCCAUUGAAGACUGGUGGGGCUGCUGGUGAAAAUCCUGAAGAAGCCAUCAAGUUCUUUGUUUUGAAGCAACAGGUCCACUAAGACAAGAGCUCUCGAUACCAAUUGUUGGUGCAAGAGGCAGCAGCAAGCUGUUUCUAGUCUUGCUUGAGUAGUAAGGCUCGAGGCUUGGUGAAGAAGCAAACUCGGAAGCAAUAAAAAACAGAAAGAUGAAGCUAGCAAGUGAAAACAGAAAAGAGAGAAAGAGAUUGAAUGAAAAUGAGCUGAUAUUUUUCAUUAACACAUGAACAAGGCAUUAAGCCAUUACAUAUAUCAGUCAAUAAGUAAAACAAACAAGUAAUCACCUACUAACAUACCUAACACCACUAAAAUGCCUAGUAACUUGGUAAACUUGAUUGAAAAACAAAAAAGCUUCUACCUAAGCUUGUCAUUCAGCACCUAAUUACAUCAAAAUGCAGCUACCAACUAAGUUUGAUCCUAACUAAAUACAAAACAUUCAAUUAAGGAAACCAAAUGAAUAGCUUCAGCUUGCUGCAUCAAUUUGCUGCUGAAGCACGUUCCUUGCAUGGCCACCUUUGCUGCUACAUGGGAGCUGACUUCAACAUCCUCAAACUGAGAGAAACCAAACGAGAGGAAAUUUCCAAGAAAUUGGGAGGUAAAUAAGAGAUUGGGUUCCAAUCAAGGAUAAGUUUGGAAAGAAAAGAGAGUCUUGAGAGUGAAGAACAUAAUGGACCUUUCAAACCACAGCUUGACAGACUCAACACAUGCAGGUUUGGAAGUACAAGAGAUGUGGUUUCACACCAUUUAGUACUUUGAGUUGAAAUGUCGACACCAUCCAAAUAAAGCUCCGUGAGAAACUUCAAAUUCUUGAUAAAUGUCUUGAAGUUUGGUUUCUCCAAUUUUAAAGUAGCUGAGUUAUAAUCGUAACCAUUUCUCCAAUAGCAAUCAUCUUGAUAAGAUAGGUUCAGAGAGACUAACCUUGUUAGGUGUGAGAUGUUCAUUGGAAUUUGGCCAUGGAAACAUGAGCUUGAAAGGUUGAGAUGAGUUAGAUUUUGGAGUUUAUCAAACCCAUAGGAAAACAGAGUGGUAUUAAAGUUGUUUCCAGCAAGAUUAAGGCGUUGAAGACGAUGGAGAUUGAAUAUGGGGUGAAAGCUGCCUGAAAGGUUUUUGUAACUAAGAUCAAUGCCAACGACAUGACCAUAAGCAUCACAAGUGACUCCUUCCCAAGAGCAACAAUCAGUGUUGACAUCCCAGAGGUCAAAUUCGGAAGAGAAAGUAAAAUGAGGGGCAUAGUAAAGAUGAUGCUGCAAUUGCAGGAGAGGAGCUCUCUGGUCAUCAAGGCAUUGCUUAGGGAGAUGAGAUUGAGGAGGUGAAAAAGACAAGACAAGAGAAAGGAAGCAUGAGAAGAGGAAGAGUGAAAUAAGGAAAUGAAGAGUGUUCAUGUUUGUUGGGUGUGAAGAAGGAUUGUGCUUGGCAUACAACUUAUUUAUACACAAAUGUGUAGUUUUCAUGUUUGGCAUAGCAUGCAAUUUCCAAGUCUUUUUGCCCAGUCAAUACUGCAUCAAAAUAAUGUUCCACCACUUUAGUUAAGUCUUUUUGGUUAACCUUUUCCAGCAAGGGAUAAUAAUAAUAAUAAUACUAAUAAUAAAUAAUUUAUAGCAUAAAUUAUUUGUUGUUAGUAUUAGAAAUAAGUUGUUAAAUUCACAUUUAAUUUGCGUUUUAAUAUAUUAUUAGAGAAUAAUAUAUUAUUGAUGUCAUUUUUUUAAUAUUUAAUAUUUAUGUUUUAUGUUUUAUAUUAAUAAAUAUUUUUAUAAUUCGAGUUUCGAGUUGAAUUUUACAAUUUAAAUAACUCAAAUACUUCAAACAAUAAAUUGAUGUACAUGCUCCUUUGGUCCCUGUCAAUUUUAAAAAUUAACAAAUUGAUCUCUCUCAACAAAAGUUUUCAAAUAAAAUUUUAAAUAAUUUUUAAAAUCAAAAUAUUCAUAAAAAUUCUCAAAUUUAUAUUUUGUAAAAACUAUAAUAAUUUUAAAUCAUAAUGGUUUUAAUUUGAAAAUUUUAAAAUCUUUAAUUUAGGACCAGAAAAAAUUGUAGUAUGAAAUAUUAUAGGCCUUUUAAUUUAGGUAUUAAGUCUUUGGCAUUGCAUGCAAAUGUCCAAGUUUUUAUUGCACAAAAAUAAUGUUUAACCAAUGUGUACAAGUCAAGUCACCUUAUAGAUUGAUGGACACAAUAAGUGGAAAUUUUGAUGAUAGAAUAUAUAGAAUUUUUCACUUUUGAAAGAUACAUUUUUAAAUUUCAGCUUUCAAACUUUCUUAAAGCUUGAGAAAUAUUUUCAUUUCUAUAUUAUUAUUUAAUUAUUAUUUAAUUUUAAUAUUUUAAUAUUUUAUAAUAUUAAAAAUAGUUAUAAUUCGAGGUUCGAGUUGAAUUUUAUAAUUUAAAUAAUUCGAAUAAUUCAAAUAACAGAUUGAUAUAUUUACUCCUUUGAUUCUUGUCAAUUUUAAAAAUUAACAAAUUAAUAUUCUCUCUCAACAAAAAUUACAAAAAUAUAUUAAAAUAUUUUUAAAGUUAAAAUAUUCAUAAAAAUUCUAAAAUUUAUAUUAUGUAAAGACUAUAAUAAUUUUUUAUUAUUUUGCUUUGAAACAGUUUUCUAAUAUUUAUGAUUUCAAAUAUUAAUUAUACUAUAAUAAAAUUUUAAUUUGACAUAUUUAUUUUUUAAUUUAAAUCAAACAAUUUUACACAAUAAUGUUUUUUAUAUACCCUAUAAUUUUGACCAGUCAACACUAUAAACAUAGGUAAAAUACAAAUACAUAAGAGCUCAAAAAUAACACUAAAAAAAACAAUUGUUUGAUUUAUUAGUAGAGAAUUGGAUUUUUAAUUCUAAUGAUUAAAUAUCAAACUCAAACAACUUCAAAUAUAUAUACAUAAAGGAUGUUAUGUAACACUCAUAAAAAUCAUCAAAAAUAAAUGAGUACUCCUAAAUCCCAACUUAUAAAUAUGCUAUGAUCUACCAACGGGUUUAAUUAAAUCCAACACCCCAAAUUAUGGGCUCAACUCUAACACUACACCAGAACAGGCUUUUAGCGGCAUAUUUUGUGGCGUUUGGAUUACAAACGCCGCUAAAAAUCGAGCAUUAGUGGCGCAAAGAAUACAACGCCGCUAAAGAUCUAGCAUUAGCGGCGCUUCUUUUAAAACGCCGCAAAAAGUCGGAUGAAUAGUGGCGUUUCCCGAACAAACGCCAUAAAAAAACAUCAUUAGUGGCGUUUACCACACAGUGCCGUAGAAUCUCAAGACCAACACGCAGUGUUCUGGUCUUGAUGUAUAUUAGAAUUAGUGGCGCUUACGAACAAACGCCGGUAAUGCAUAGUAUUAGCGACGCUUAGCGGAAGCGCCGCAAAAGAUGUUAACCAAAACGCAGAGUUUGGUGUUGAUGUAUAUUACAAUUAGUGGUGCUUAUAAAGAAAACGCCGCUAAUGUAUAGUAUUAGCGGCGCUGAGCGUUAAAUGCCGCAAAACAUCUUAACCAAAACGCAGCGUUUUGGUCUUGAUGUAUAUUAUAAUUAGUGGCGUUUAAGGAAAACGCCACUAAAGCAUAGUAAUAGCAGCGUUUGGUUGUAAGCGCCUCAAAAUAUCUUAACCAAAACGCGGAGUUUGGUCUUGAGGUAUAUUAGAAUUAGUGGCGCUUAUUGGAAAACGCCGCUAAACUAUAGUAGUAGCGGCGCUUGUGGAAAGCGCCGCAAAGUAUCCUAACCAAAACGCAGAGUUUGGCCUUGACGUAUAUUAGAGUUAGUGGCACUUAUUUCAAAACGCCGCUAAUGCUUACUAUUUGCGGCGCUUUGUGGUAAGUGCCGCCAAAAAAUGCACAAUAAAAGGAAAAUACAAAAAGCAAGCCAAUUAAAAAUAAAAAACAAAGGAAGCAAUAAGUAAAUAAAUAAAUAAAAAGGUGACUACCAAUAAAACAUUUUAUUAAAAAUUGAAAAUAAAUAAAUAAAUAAUAAAUGAAACAGUUUGUAAAAAAAAUUGAAGUUAAAUAAACUAAGGAUCAUAUUGAAAUCGGAAUAAAAUUAAGGAGUAUAAAUUGUAAAUAAAAAAGGCUAAUAAGAAUUAAAAUAUAACAUGCUAAAAAGAAUAGGGACCGAAUAGGAGAAUAUACCUUGCCCUUAUGCGCACCGUUUCUCACGGGACUAAAAUGAAAUAAAAUUAAAAUUUCGUGAUAAAAUUAACAUAAAACCUAGACCAACAGGUUCACUCUUUAUUAAUGAGUAUGGAACUUCUGAAUAUGUUAGGAUUUACCAAAAGGUUAAUUCCUUAAAUUAUGGAUUAAAUUUUAAAUUGAUUUCUAAAUUUUUAAAAAAAAAUUUGAUUAAGCCCUCAAACUAUAAGUUACAUCCUAAUUUGAAAUUUUUAAUUUUGGACUAACAAAGAAAAUAUUAGUGUGAGAUAUUGUUGGCCUUUGGCUAACAUUGGAAAGCAUACUAGAUUUUAAGAAAUAAUUUAUUUGAUAAAAUUUUUAUUAUUUUUAUUAUUUUUAUCAUAUUAUUACUUAAUUCAACCAUAUUUUUAAAAUUAAUAAAACUAUCCUUGAAAGUAUAAAUAAACUAGUAUAAAAAUAAGUGACGGGCUGAACUAAAACCCGGACCAACAGGUCCACCCUUUACACCCGGUCCUAAAGCCCAACACGUGAUUCAUAAAAUAUAAAACUCAUGUCUGUUUGGAAGAGCAAAGGAUGGGAGUAGCAGCAUCUGCGUCUCUUUACACAAUCAGUCCAAUGUCCGUCAAAUAUGGCUUUCACCAACAUCAUGCCAUCAAAUCUCCUCAGCUGUACAAAUAUUCUGAAGAUAAAAAAAUUGAAGUGAAUUGCAUAUAAAAGAAAGCUUGGGCAGACAUUUCCUUGUUUAUAAUAUCAUUAUUAGCAUGGAAAUUCAGUAGCAGUGAAACAUUGCAUCCCCCAAAUCCACAGGGACCUGGAUGCAAAAUGAAUAAACACUUAUUUAUACUCAUAGAAAACUACAACAGGAAAAAAGUGCAUAUAAAGCAAAACUACAAACCAGUGGAUUGAUCUUGUUAGGAUCAUUGCCUACAUUCUUCAUGAACCUCACAACUGUACAUUCCAUUUCCUACUUCAAGUACCUCCUGCAUUGCUCAAUGGUAACAUCAAAUUACAAGUACGAUAUGAUAGUGAAGUUGGUAAUGACAACAAAAAAUGAGGUUAUGAAAACCUAUAUAUAUACAUAUAUAUCAACAACUAUCUGUUCAAAUUAGAAAGACAAAUGCUUACCAGCUAAUUUUGAAGCAAAAAUUCUGACGGAGUCACCUACAUCUUCUUCUAUUUCUUUUCCCACACUUUUUGAACUUGUCAACCCAUUUGUUUCCCAACUCAUUCAGCGCUGUAUAUCCAAUACAUAGCCCAACGAUUAAUCCACUAGCAUAACCUAUCAACGCAAUUUUCCAAGUAGACAGAGCAUUUAACCAUGAAUCUUCACCUUCCCCUGGAGGUGGUGGCAUUGGAAGACUAACUUCAUUGCAUUUCCUUGACAAUGGCAGCCCACACAAUUUUGGGUUCCCACGGUAGGAAUCAUUUGUAAAUGUAAUGAAUUGGUUGCUUUGUGGUAUGCUCCCUUCAAGUUGGUUGCAUGACAAGUUCAAUGCUGCCAGGAAAGUUAAACUUGUAAGUUGUGCAGGAAUCUUCCCUGACAGCUCAUUCUGUGAGAGAUCCAAAGAUUCAAGAUCUUUUAGAUUUUCAAGUGCUAAUGGGAUUUCACCAGAAAAGCCAUUGUUGGAUAAGUUUAUCACUCUGAGUGACCUCAGCAUUUGUAUCUCUUCUGGUAUUCUCCCAUGGAAACUAUUGUUGGAAAGGUCAAGACAAGUAAGAAUUGUCAAGACUUUUUGGUACAACAUUUCAAUCCCUCUGUUAACAAUUGUCACAGAGUCUUGAUAAUAAUUCUCUCCGAUAUAAUCCAGCGUAGCCUUUUCAUCAUUAGUCAUCUCCGCCAUUGCCUUCAAACUCUGCAAAAAUUCAAUAGACAAGUCACCUGAAAAAUUGUUGGAAGCAAUGUCCAAUAUGCGUAGCUUUGGAAACCCACGUUUCGUGUCAAUUUUUGAAAUUGUGCCGUAGAAUCUGUUUGCUCGCAAAACGAGAACCUUCAAGGAAGGUAGCUUCUCUAACCAAAAUGGGAAUGUAUCAUGAACCAUAUUAUUUCCAAGGUCCAGAACCUCAAGUGCUGUGCAAUUGGCUAAUGAUCUCGACAGCUUCCCUUCCAAUUUAUUCCCACCUAUUUUGAGUGACCUUAGUCGAGUGGGUUGAAGGAAAUCAAUGGAUAGUUCACCAGAAAACUGGUUUGAAGCAAUGUCCAAUACAUCCAAAGUUGGGAAAACAGAUUUAUGUUUGAAAUGUUUAAUUUGACCAUAAAAUCUGUUUUCCCGCAAUAUUAGAACCGUCAAGUAAGGCAAUUUCUCCAACCAAAAAGGGAAUGUAUCAUUCAUCUUGUUGCUUCCCACGUCCAAAACUUCAAGCUGAGUGCAUUCAGCUAAUGAUCUGGGCAACUUCCCUUCCAAUCUAUUCUCACUAACUUUGAGAAACGACAGUUGGGUUGCUUUUGAAAAUUUUGGCAUCAUUCCACUGAAGUUAUUUCCUUGCAGAUCCAACGAAUAGAGAGCACUCAUAUUGCCCAAGCAAUUCGGAAUUGGGCCACUCAAACUGUUAUAAGAUACAUCAAAACGGCCGAGUCGACUCAUUUUGCAUAACCAAUUUGGAAUUGGGCCACUCAAAUUGUUAGAAGAUGCGUCGAAACUGAAAGGCCCCUGUGAAAAAUUUGAACUCUGAUUGGGUAGAAGUUGUUCCAAAGACGAGAGAUGGUUAUUAGCAAGAUACAGAUACCGCAAACUUUUCUUCCACACCCAGUUUGGAAUUGCACCACUUAUUUUAUUAUUUGAAAGUUCGAGAUAUUCCAAAUUUUCUUGACUCUUUAAGAACUCUGGAAAUGAGCUUAUGUUACAAGAUUCCAGAUACAAUUCCCUCAACAUUGAAAAAGAGAAGUUUAAAUCACUUAAGGGAAGCUGUUUUGGAAAAUCAAUCACAUUGAAAGAAAGGUUUACCCUUAAAAGAGUGCUAUUCCACAACCAAUUAGGCACAACACCAUGGAUAUGGUUGUUAGAAAGAUCUAACACAACCAACUUGUCUUGUGUUUUUGUUGGAACAAUGACAGCAGCAAACAUCAAAGCAAAUUUGCAACUCAAUGUUUGCAAGACUGAAGCAAGAAGAAUCAAGGCAAGCAAAGCAUCAAAAAUCAAAAUACUCAGCAAUGUUUGUGACUGAACAUACCUCAUUUUUCAUUCAACUUGAAAUAUAUAAAAGAGUUACAAUUGUACAUUGACAGUUACCUAAUGUAUUUAACUGCCCCAACUAAUACAAACCUAAUCACUAGCCAAAAAUAAUCAAACAUAGCUGACCAAUCAGCCAUUACAUCAAAAGAUCAUGUCACUAACUUAAGUUUAACUAGCAUUACAAACAAACUAAAGUUGAACUGAAUCAAAUUACAUCAAAACAAAACAGCAAAGUUGGUUGCUUCAUUCAGUUCAAAAACCAUUCGUGCGCACCAAGCAAAACGAGCUGAGCUCGAUAGCUGCUGGUCUCGAUAGUAGCAAGCUUUUGGCUCCAUGUUGCAUUGCAGUCCAGCUUUCAACACUCCUCCUUGGACUGUAUGCAACACAUUCCAAUUGCACUUCUCAAAGAUUCAAAUCGAGCAGCCCCUAAGGGCUUGGUCAUUAUGUCAGCCAAUUGUGCUCCUGAGCUGCAAUUCACAAGGCUGACUUCCUUUGCUUGUUCAGCCUCUCUAACAAAAUGCAAUUUGAUCUUAAAGUGCUUAGUCUUGCCAUGGAACACAGGGUUCUUGGCUAUUGCAACUGCAGACUGAUUGUCCACCCAGAUUUCAGUUGCUUCAUCUUGAGUUUCAUUAAGGUCAUAAAGCAGCUUUCUUAGCCAAAUGGCCUGAUUAACUGCUCCUGCUGCAGCAAUGUACUCUGCUUCAGCUGUGGACUGAGCAACAGUUUGUUGCUUCUUAGAACUCCAGCAAAACAUACCCGAUCCAAGUGUGAAGAAGUAUCCAGAGGUACUCUUCAUGUCAUCGAGAGAUCCUGCCCAGUCGCUGUCAGAGUAGCCUUCUAAUUUCAGUUGGUUCUGACUUUCAAACAUUACACCAAAACUAGCAGUGCCCUUGAUGUAUCUAAGGAUCCUCUUUGCUGCCUUCAAAUGUGCCUCAUUGCAACAAUGCAUAAAUCUUGAUAACAGGCUGACACCAAACAUGAUAUCUGGCCUGGUUGCUGUUAGAUACAACAGACAACCAACCAGGCUUCGAUAGUGCCUCUCAUCAACCCUCUGCUGAUCACCACUGCUAGUCAGCUUUUCUCCUUGAGCCACAGGUGUGCUGACUGCUUUACAGUUAUGCAUGCAAAAUUUGUCUAGAAUCUUCAAAGCAAAUGAGUGUUGGCUGAUGAAGAUACCUCGAUCAGAUUGGUGCACUUCCAUGCCAAGGAAGUAAGUCAUGAUCCCCAAAUCUGUCAUCUCAAACACUUGCUGCAUUUGGACCUUGAACUGAUCAAUGAGCUCGAUUUUGCUCCCUGUCACAAGCAAAUCAUCCACAUACAAGGAGACUAUCAGCAAGGUUUCAUGUUCUGACUUUUUAACAUAUAGAGUAGGCUCACUAAGGCUCUUUGCAAAUCCAAGUUUGGUCAGGUAGGCAUCAACUCUGUCAUACCAGGCCCUUGGUGCCUGUUUCAGGCCAUAGAGGGCCUUUCUCAACUUAUACACUUUGUCUUCAUGUCCAACAACUUCAAAACCUUCAGGUUGCUCGAUAAAGAUCUCCUCCUUGAGAAAACCAUUCAGGAAUGCUGAUUUGACAUCCAAUUGGUGAACUCUCCACUGCUUCUGAGCUGCUAAAGCAAACAGCAGCUUAAUUGUAUCCAGUCUUGCCACUGGAGCAAAAGUUUCUAGGUAGUCAACACCAUACUGCUGACUGUAGCCCUUCACCACAAGCCUGGCCUUGUGCUUGUUCAGUGAGCCAUCAGCAUUGUACUUGGCCCGAUACACCCAUUUAACUCCUAUGACCCUCUUGUGUUCUGGUCUGCUCACCAACUCCCAAGUCUGAUUUUUGUUGAUCAUUUCCAACUCAGCUUCCAUAGCUUUCAUCCAGCUUCUGUUUUUAGCAGCCUCUUCAAAGUCUGAGGGCUCAAUCACAGCAACAUUGCACCUCUGAUAAACAUCAACCAAAGUUCUGGUGCCCCUCACUGGUAUAUCAUCGACAGCAUCAUUACUUGGUCCUUCUUCUGCAGGUUCAACCAAGUCUAACUGGUCCAAUUCAGACAAGUUAGCCACAACACCAUUCCAAUUCCACACCUUUUCCUCAUCAAACUUAACAUCCCUGCUGACUAAAACCUUCUUUGCUGUAGGAUCAUACACUCUAUAGCCCUUCUUAUUGCUGCUGUAGCCAACAAAGAUUCCUGGAGUUGCUCUGCUCUCAAGCUUGGUCCUUUUCUCCACUGGAAUAAGUGCAUAACAUACACAGCCAAACACUUUUAAGUGUGUUAUCACAGGUUUGACUCCGUGCCAAGCCUCAAAAGGAGUCUUAUCCUUGACUGCUCUAGUUGGCAGUCUGUUGAGCAGAUACACUGAGGUGUUGACUGCCUCAGCCCAAAACUGACUUGGAAGCUUGCCUUGAAACAAGAGGCACCUGGCCAUGUUCAGUACAGUCCUAUUCUUUCUCUCACAGACUCCAUUCUGUUGAGGAGAAUAGACUGUUGUGAGCUGAUGGUGAAUCCCAGCAUUGUCACAAAGCUUCUGAAAUCUCUCAGACACAUAUUCAGAUCCAUUAUCAGUCCUCAAGGCUCUAAUUUUGCAGCCUGACUGAUUUUCAGCAUAAGCCUUGAAUUUACAGAAGGCUUCAAACACUUCUGACUUUUGCUUCAAGAAAUAGACCCAGCAUAACCUUGUUAAAUCAUCUAUAAACAAGGCAAAGUACCUGUUCUCACUGAUUGAAGGUGUUCUCAUAGGGCCACAAACAUCAGAGUGCACCAAUUCGAGCUUGUCUUGAGCUCUCCAAGCACUGUCAGCAGGAAAAGGCAGUCUAGCCUGCUUACCAAGCUGACAAACCUCACAAACAUUCCCACUAGCUUCAAUUUUUGAAAUGUCAUCAACCAGAUUCAGCCUAUGUAAUAGAUCAAUAGAUCUAAAAUUUGCAUGGCCUAGUCUCCUAUGCCACAAGUCAGUGCUUUCAACAAGGCUGGUGUAUGCCUUUCUUUCUAUUUGGCUAACAUCCAGCAUGAAGCACCUAUCAGUCAUAGAGACUGUGACUAACUCCAGACCAUUCAUGUCUUGAACAAUACAGCAACCAUCCUUAAAAACCAAUGUAUAGCCCUUUUCAACUAAUUGGCCCACACUAAGCAAAUUCUGGUCUAAUUCAGGUACAAAAAACACAUCUGAGAUCAGCUUGUUACCUGAACCAGUGCUAAUCAACACACUGCCCUUGCCUUUAGCCUCAAUCAGCCUACCAUCUCCAAUUCUAAUCCUCGAGUGGAAGCUUCUGUCUAGGCUUUUGAACAGCUUCUCAUCUGCUGCCAUAUGGUGUGAGCAGCCACUGUCUAGUAGCCAAUCAUUGCUGGCCUUGGUUGUGCCAACAAAACAAGUUGCUGUGAACACUUGCUCCUCCUGAGCUUGAAUGUCCUCAGCAGGUCUAGCUUGUUGCAGAGUAGCCUCCCUUGGUUUGCCCUUGCACACCUUCUCCACAUGGCCAAACUGUUUGCAUUUUCUACACUGAAUAUCUGGCCUAAACCAGCAAUACUUUUCUGAAUGUGUUGUCUUCUUGCAAUGAACACAUGGUGGGAACACCCUUUUUGCUUCAUCUCUUCCUGACUUGACCCUUCUAUUGUGCCAAGGCUUCUUGCCUUUUGCACUCACACUCGAGCCUUCACUGGCUUUAGCCUGGAAAGCAGCUUCAGGAUUCUCCUCCUGCCUAUUUGCCCUCCUUUGCUCAAGUGCAUAUAGGGAAUUUAUCAGCUCAGACAAUGAAAUGGCUGAUAAGUCCCUCGAGUCCUCAAGUGAAGAGAUUUUAGACUCAAAUUUCUCAGGAAGAGUUGUAAUAACCUUUUCAACAACUCUGCUCUCUGUGAAGUCCACUCCCAGGAGCCUAAUGCUGUUGACAAUGGCCAUUAUCCUGUCUGAGUACUGCUUGAUGGUCUCAGACUCCUUCAUCCUCAAGUUUUCAAAGUCUCUCCUGAGGUUGAUUACUUGCUGUUGCCUUGUCUUAUCAGUCCCCAUGAACUCCUCCUUCAGCUUCUCCCAAGCCUGCUUAGGUGAGUCACAGGCCAUGAUGCGAGUAAAUAUCACAUCAGAGACUCCAUUUUGCAAGCAGGCCAUAGCCUUAUGCUUCUUGGCUCGCUCCUCAGUAUGUUGCCUCAUCUGUGCAAUGGUGGGAUUGGCUCUCAAUGGAGGUGGUUCAGCAUCAUUCUCGAUCACACUCCAAAGAUCAUGUGCCUGGAGAUAAGUCUUCAUUUUAACUAUCCAAAUGUGAUAGUUUUCUCCAGUGAACACUGGUGGAGGUGGUGGAGUGAAACUCAUUCUGCUGAACUGAUUUUAAAUGCUUCAAUCUUACCAAAUUUUGAACUUGCUGUUGGUUUUGUUUCGAACACAACAGAUUGCAUACAAAGGCCCCUCAAAGACUCGGGCUCAUGAUACCAUUUGUUGGAACAAUGACAGCAGCAAACAUCAAAGCAAAUUUGCAACUCAAUGUUUGCAAGACUGAAGCAAGAAGAAUCAAGGCAAGCAAAGCAUCAAAAAUCAAAAUACUCAGCAAUGUUUGUGACUGAACAUACCUCAUUUUUCAUUCAACUUGAAAUAUAUAAAAGAGUUACAAUUGUACAUUGACAGUUACCUAAUGUAUUUAACUGCCCCAACUAAUACAAACCUAAUCACUAGCCAAAAAUAAUCAAACAUAGCUGACCAAUCAGCCAUUACAUCAAAAGAUCAUGUCACUAACUUAAGUUUAACUAGCAUUACAAACAAACUAAAGUUGAACUGAAUCAAAUUACAUCAAAACAAAACAGCAAAGUUGGUUGCUUCAUUCAGUUCAAAAACCAUUCGUGCGCACCAAGCAAAACGAGCUGAGCUCGAUAGCUGCUGGUCUCGAUAGUAGCAAGCUUUUGGCUCCAUGUUGCAUUGCAGUCCAGCUUUCAACAGAUUUGGAAGGUCCAUUAUGUUCUUCACUCUCAAGACUCUCUUUUCUUUCCAAACUUAUCCUUGAUGGGAACCCAAUCUCUUAUUUACCUCCCAAUUUCUUGGAAAUUUCCUCUCGUUUGGUUUCUCUCAGUUUGAGGGAUUGCAAUUUGAAUGGGCAUUUUCCAACCGGAAUUCUCUUAUUGCCAAAAAUUCAAAGCAUUGACAUUUCAGGCAAUGACCAACUUAUGGGUCAGUUGCCAGAAUUUCCAGCAAACAAUGCUUUACAGAGUUUGUCGCUUUCUUAUACAAAUUUCAGAGGAGAACUACCUCAAUCAAUUGGUAAUCUCAAGUUCUUAACAGAUUUACAUCUUUCUGGUUGCAAUUUUUUUGGACCCAUUCCAUCGUCAAUUGCAAAUCUUAGUCACCUGGUGAACUUGGAUCUGGGAUAUAAUUAUUUCAGUGGUUUAAUCCCUUCGUUUCAUAGAUUUGGAGUUCCUAAUCUUGAAAAUCUCAAUUUGGAGACGAACAAGCUUUUUGGAUCAAUACAUUCUUCUUUAUUUACUCUUCCAUCGUUGAAGACCUUUUAUCUUGGAGAAAAUCAAUUGGUUGGGAAAAUUGAUGAGUUCCCCAAUGCAUCUUCUUCUUUGAUUGAAGUACUGUCUAUAGGCAAUAAUGAUUUAACAGGACCAAUCCCAAAGUCAAUCCUUCAACUUCCAAGGCUUGAAUGGCUUUAUAUCGAAAGCAAUAGCUUCAGUUCCAUGAAGCUUGACAUGUUUGUCCAUCUCAAGAACUUGAGGUAUCUGACGCUGCUCAACACAAGCUUGUUAAUUGAAAGCGACAAUAGAAGUCUUACUUUUCCCCAGUUAGAGAGCCUAAGCCUAAGGUCAUGCAACCUUACUGAAUUUCCAGAAUUCAUUAAAAGGCAAGACAAGUUGGUUUACUUAGAUCUUUCUAACAAUCAUAUCCAUGGUGUUGUGCCUAAUUGGUUGUGGAAGAGCAGUCUUUCAUUCUUACACCUUUCUUUCAAUGUGAUUGAUUUUCCAAAACAGCUUCCCUUAAAUGAUGCAAACUUCUCUUUUUCAAUGUUGAGGGUAUUGUAUCUGGAAUCUUGUAACAUAAGUGCGUUUCCGGAGUUCUUAAAGAGUCUAGAAAAUUUAGUAGUUCUCGACCUUUCAAAUAAUAAAAUAAGUGGUGCAAUACCAAACUGGGUGUGGAAGAAAAGUUUGCGGUAUCUGUUUCUUGCUAAUAACCAUAUCUCAUCUUUGGACCAACUUUUACCCAAUCAGAGUUCAACUUCUUCACAAACCUCCUUGACUAGACCUAUUUGCAAUUUGAGUAAACUUAGAAAUUUCAAUGCAUCUCAUAACAAUUUGAGCGGCACG